CGCACCACCACCUCCAUCUCCACUGCACACCUCACUGCACCAUAACACCACCAACACACAUAGUUAAAUUGACCGCAUAAUUCCACCUCCACUGCACACCGCAUGCCACCACUACCACCACAAUCGCACCAUACACCACCACCACAUCAACAAAUAGCCAUGACUGAAAAUCCACCAUUACAACACCCACACACCGUCGACCAACACAAUACAAUCACCAACACCACUUCAACACCCAAAACCACCACUAGAUUUCUCUACUACAGAGAAUAAAUUCACCACCACAACCGCCACCACAAAAAUCUCCAUCACCAAUUCACCACCAGGUCCACCACCACACAAAACACCAUCCAAUCCACCACCAACUUCAUUGGAAUUAUGUAAUUAUCUUCAACUCAAAUCUUUGAGCAUAGAUAAUCACACAACUGCCAGAUUCACCACCACACAAACACUACAUAACAUCACACACAAAACACAAUCCAAACCCAUCCCGACCACCAGAUCCGAUUCGCCGCUACCAUCGUCAUUAAUUUCACCACCGCAACUCACGGUGAUUCGCGAAAGGUUGGAUCUUCGUCAUGACAUCUCCUCUUCAUUACAGCAGCACUGACAACGGUGCUCCGGGUGGUGGUCCUGAAGGAGAAAAAUUCAGAUCGAGUUACUGUGCUUUUGCCUGAGUGAGUCGGUGAACAAUCAUCACCAUGAGUACGGUAGUGGAUUGUUGAUGUGGGUGGUGGUCCAACAGUGGACGGUGGUCUCCGAUGACAAGCGUUCCUCAACCCGAUGGCAGUUAACGGAUAGGGUAGCGAGAGAGAGGGGAGAGAAUGGAAAGAAGGAAAAUGAUUUUUAGCCUAUUUAGGGUUUGUAGAUAUAUAUUUGUAAUUAUUAAUUUCAUACCUGAAUUUUGAUUAAAUGAUCUUUGCACCUGACUUUUGCAUAAGGAAGUUUAAAUACCUGUAUUUGUGUAAUUUCCACAAAAUCUUAGCUUGGUUCUUCACGACUCAUCUUUGGGUCGAGCCAAGUUGAUUCGUCUCGAGUUGUAAGAUUUAGUAUGAUAAUAAUAUUUUCAGGCGGAAAAAAAUGAAUGAUAAAAUGGCAAAAUGAUAAAAGUAAAUAAAAAUAGUAACACGUGAAAUUUAAAUGUUAUUGUCACGGGACAUUUACAAAUCAAAUACCAAGUUAAUAAUUUAAGAGUGCGAAAUUUGAAAUAUAGCUUUGAAAAUUCUUAGUUCAAAUCAACUAGCCCACUUUAGGGAAUAGGUGACGGUCAAAAUUGUUGACUUAAAUUGUUUAGAUUAAUUUUACGAUUGACACAUACCAGAAGGUGGCUGCAAAGUACAGGCGGCGAAUUAAAAUUCGCCCUAAGAUAGACGUUUCCUUCACGUAUUUAAAGUAAUUAAUUGUUUAGGAAGUUUCAACUAUGUAGUGCAUGACAGGCAAAGUUUGAUUAUUUUUAUUUAUAUUUAUAAGUUGAGGACUUUACUAAAUGAGUUUUAUAAGUACUCACUUUUUGAAUCACAUUUCGUCAAUUUAUAUUAAUAACUAUUAAAAAUUUAAUUUUUUAACUAAAUUAAACAAGAACUUAAUGUAAUAAAUAGAAUACAUUUUGUUUCAACAAUCAAUAAGAGUGCACCAUCGAAUAUGGUAACGUAGUGUAUCUAUUCCAUGAACGUGUCUAUCGCGGUACGUAGAAUAAUGCCAUUUUAUCAGAUGAAUUUGACAUCUUGGAUGACAGAUGAAAGUAAGGAAACAAGUGAUUGAUGCAAGAAAUUUCAUUUUUUUUUUUAAAAAUCGACCAAUGAUGGAAUGCCACGUGAGUAGGUAGCAUAUCUAUUUGGUUAUGUAGCAAGGUUGUAGGACAUAUAUAGGUGCCAACUUUUCUUACAAAAGUGACUCGAUAUGAUUCUUUAACGUGAUUGAACUUGAUAGUAACAGAGAUUGAGACUUGUUUCUGUAAUCUAUAAUAUAUAUUAAAAGUCAUGCGAUGCGCAAAUUAUUUUUCGGAUGAUUAUAUCUUAACUAUAUUUAAACAAUUUAUGGACCACCAUUUCAUCACAUUCAGUUAAUUAUAUAUUUUCAAGAGUGUUUAAUUAAUUUAAGAAUGUCUAAAUCAAUUUUCAAGAUCUUGUGUGUAUAUACGGACAUUAAGCCCAUGUUUGGUACAAAUUAAAAUUUAGAUUUUAAUUUAAGUCAAAGUCAACAAUCAAUUUAAUUUUAAUCUCCAUCGAAACUAAACUAUCUUCAUAUUUCUAAAUUAAUAAUGUAUUUGUUUGUUACUAAUUAAUUAAUGUACAUUUUUCAAUACACAUCAUCAAUGACUUUCGCAACUAUUUAAAAUUUUAUUCGUCAAUUUUAUUUGGAACGUAUUUAACAGACUUUUUCUUUCAAAGAUUUUCCUUUUUGUGUAUAAUUAAAAAUUCUAUAUGUUUCUUUAGGAGGGCUAUUAUUUGUCUACACGAAGCAAAGGUAGUGCGAUACAUUCAGCGUGUGUUUGAGUUACGUUAUUUUGAAAUAGUAUAUUGAUGAAAAAUGUAUGAUUAAAAAUUGAGGAAAAUUUUUGAAUUUGUGUGUAAUAUUAUUUUAUUGAAAAAUGUAUGGUUCAAAUGAUGUCAAAUCACUAUUUAAAAAUGUAUUUUUUGAAAGAAUACGGUUCAAACAAGUCCUCAAACUUCAAAACAGCUUCAGAAUCCCCUCCUACUCUUCGAGUGCUGGUAUAUUACUUUAUUUUCAAGGGGAAAAAAAUGAAAAAGAAUUUUUUUUCCCCAUAUUUUUGUAAUUGGUUUUCUUUUUUCCUCGUGGUUAUCCUUAAUUUAUUAAGAUUCAUAUUAAUUAUCUAUGUCUUUUGGUUUGCCUAUUUAUUUAUUUAUUUGGUUUACUAUAUGUAAUCAUUUUUAUUGCUUGACACGAUUGAAAAUUUACUACAAUGCCUUGAACUCGAAAAUUUCAGCUUUGUUGGAGUUGGAGAAGCAUUAUUUUCGUCGAAGAUACUGGUGGUAAUGAUAGAGGGCGGUUAAUUAAAUGGUAUUGGUGCUGGAAAAGUUGCGUGUGGGUUUGAUGAUUUGGGAAUAUGGAAUAACUUUUUCCUUUUGCUUUUACACAUUUGUCUUUUCCGUAGACUUUUUUUGAAUUUUUUUUAAUAAGUGCCACAAUAUUAUAUAUUUGUGCAAUUUAAUAACAUAUCAAAUUCCAUCUAGAUAGAUUUGGAAAUUUGAUUUUUGUUAAUUUGAUACUUCAUUUACAAAUAUACUUAUUUAUUUAUAUCAACAAUGUAUAGAUACAAUACAAUUAUCUUCUUUAUGUUGACGUGAUAUCUAAAAAUAAUAUUCUAACACUAAUAAAAAAUAAUAAUAAUGUGCGUCGCACAUAUAAGUACGACGAAGUACAGCAAAAAUAACUCACAUAUUCUCGACUAUAGAAUGUACAUGGUUAACUUUUAGCGAAAUCAAAAAAGGUCAUAUUCCCGAUUAUAGAAUAUACAUUAAUGUCUUGUCCGCCUCUCGAAAUAUAAUCCAGUAGUAUAAAGGGCAGGAGGGGAUUAUUUCUGGCAGUCGCAGUGUGAGCGUUCGAUUCUUAAAACAUGGAAUUGGACUUCUUAUAGGUACAAUGUACAAAUAGCUCUUGUUUUCUGAUCUAUUGAAAUACAUUCCCCAAUUUACCUUCUUCACAAAAUUCCAAUGACGGGACGAUCGAUCUCAAGGUUGGGCUUCAACCUUUUUUUUACAUUAAUGUCUUGUCCAUACACUUCCAAGAUCCGACCUUUUCUUACUUCCGGGACCCUGUAAACGCAAAGGUACUAUUAAAGAUGAUGCAUUAAAUCAAGAUCGACUGCAUUUUUCUUUCCUUAUAAUAUUAAUCCAUCCACCAGAAGCUUGGAAAUGCUGUCAACAAGCGCUUUUGUUUCAUGGAUUCUUGUAUUGAGUUGUUUCAGCUUGCUGAAUUUUGCUGUGCCACAACAGGUGCCUAAAGAAGAAGGUAAGAAGCUGAGUUUUUGCUCCUGUUUCAUGAAUAUGCAGUUAUCUUAUAGUGCACCCGAAGAAAAUUGAAGAUCUCUCAUUAUUUUGUUUAUUUAUUAACUUUGUUUUUUCGUUUAUUUGCUCAAUAACUUAAAGUGAUAUGUGCAAAUUAUCAGCUAAGCGAUUUUCUUCAAACUCAAGAGGCAUAUAUUGGGUAUUUAGGCAGAUUUUAGUAUCUGAUUGGUUUAAGUUUCAGUGUGGUUCUUUAGUAAAUCUUUUCUACGUUUUUGCCAUUAUUUUGGGGUUAGUAUCCUCAGUUACUGUUUUGUUCUCACUUCUUUCUAAUACAUAUAUGUUUUGUGCUGAAUACAAUAAUGGCAUGCUUGGUAUGUCAUGGAGGAUUACACUAGAAUAUAUUAAGGAUAAAAAAGAAGCUACAGUCUUGUUAUAUAUACCGUCUUGCUGCUCCUGCAUACCAAAUACAGUCUUAGUGUAUAUUUUGUAUAAUUGACAAGUUUUAGCUUCUUUUUUGUAUUCCUUAUGAAACAUGCUGUAAGAGUAUGUUUAGAUGCUGAACAGAGCAUGAUUAACUAAGAUUUUAUGCUGUCAUAUUCAUUUCUGCAUACUAAACAUAUGAUUAGGGAGCUUUAUGCAAUAUAGCAUUUUUUUAAAAUUUUUUUGGAUACUAAUAUGCAUUGAUAUCUGUUAGUGGAUGCGCUGCAACAAAUUGUCACUGCAAUGGGUGCAAAAUUCUGGAAAUUUAAUGCCCAUUUAUGUGAUGUUGAACUGGUUGGGGUUACACAAAUUGCUCCAAGCGGAUCUGAGAGUUAUGUUGAUUGUGACUGCAACUAUGAAAACAACACAGUCUGCCAUGUCACAAAAAUGUUAGUAUCCUUAUCCCUUCUUUUAUUAUUUCCCAAAAAUUUAAUUUCCCAUGGAAGCCAUAUGGUUUAGAGUUCUGUUCCUCCCGAUCAAGAGUCUUGUCACUUAAGAUAUAUAUAAUGUAUAUAUUUCAAUGAUGUUUCCAUGUAAUUAUUAAUGUUUUGUGGAAAGAAUGUGAUAUCUAUACGUUAUUAGUACUAUAUUAACGUCAUAACUGGUGUAUAUCAGUGAAUAAAUAGCUCCAUAUACUUAUUUCUAUAUUGAUGGAACCGUUGUCUCGAUGCUAAUGUCCACGUUCCACAUUAUACAGUGUGCUAAAGAGUUAUAAUCUUCCAGGGAUUCUUUCACCUGCAAUUGUGAAGCUUCCGUACCUCCGAGAUAUGUAAGAACCUGUCAUUUCCAGCUUCAUAUUUGUUUUUUUGACACAUGCCAUGACUUUGUCAUGGAUGAGCAUCAGCUGCUGAAUUUAAUUUAUAUUUCAUUCAACUCUCAGUGAUUUUGCUUACAACCUCCUCACCGGGACAAUACCAACUGAAUGGGCUUCAACACAGUUGAAUUCCGUGUAUGCUCCAUUGUUGAUUCGUGUAUGUAUUCUAGUAGUUAUUCAUUUAUUUUGGCACCACUAAGUACAGAAUUUUGAUGCAGCUCUCUUCUUGUGAACCGGUUAUCAGGGAAAUUACCAAAGGAACUGGGAAAUGUUACUACCCUCACGUACAUGUAUGUCUUUAAGUAUAUGAUAUGUUAUUUGUUUUCUGAAAUAGAUUUGCUGAUUGAAAUCUAGUUGUUAAAUAAAAGUUAUAAGGAGUUUUGAAUUUUUGAAAAAAUGGACGAAAGUAAGAGAAGAAAACAGCAAUAAAUGAAUAAUUUCUUAUUCACACUUUUUCCUUCUCCAUCUUCUUUUAUUCAAUAGAUCGACAUGGUAACAGAGCAAACAGAGGUUCAGGGUUUAAAUUUCACUGUCACAUGUGCUAGGCCUUUAACAAAAAAAUGUAUUUAGCUGGAACAGUUUUUUCCUUCUCUAACAAUUUAGGCUUCUACAAUGAGAUGUUACAAACAAAAAGGGCUUCUUUGUCUUCUUAUUAUUGUUGAAAUAAAGGAUGAUUUAUUGUCCUAUUCUGCAUGUCAUUUUACCAGGAAUCUUGAAGUCAACCAAUUUUCAGGCUCUGUUCCUUCUGAACUUGGGAAGUUGAUAAACUUGAAGACUCUGUAAGAUCCCUCCUUUCUUUGUUAUGCACCGCACCACAUGCUUUAAAUCUCACAUGCGACUCCCAAUGGAUGAGACAAAAUCUGAUUAUUUCAGUCUGCAUUGGUUAUGAAUAACAGGAUAUUGUCCUCCAAUCAAUUUACUGGAAACUUGCCAACGUCUUUUUCGGAACUGAUAAACUUAGAUGACUUGUAAGCAUGAACACUAUGUCUUCAAUUUAUUGUUUAGAAAUUUGUUGAUAUAUUAAUGAAGGCCCCUAUUACAAUGCAGUAGGAUAAAUGAUAACAAUUUCAGUGGACCGAUACCUGAAUUUAUUCAGAACUGGAAACGGCUAACGCGUUUGUAAGAUCAUUACAUACCUAAAAGUGCUUUUGAAGAUAUGAUAGAUAAUUUUUUUUCGCAAUUAUUUUGUAUAACAUUUAUUUGUUUUAUCCACAUUGAAGAGAAAUGCAUGCGAGUGGAUUAAAGGGACCGAUUCCCUCAAGCAUAUCUUUUCUGACUAUGUUAACCAUCUUGUAAGUAGAACCUCCAUAAGAUUUGCAUUGGCCUCAGUUUUUUAUUUUUAUAGUUGGUUUUUCCGUAUCAGUUUACUAGGUAUUUUUCAUGUCGUAAUUUUCUUAUACAGGAGAAUUAGUGACAUAAACGGGCCAACUCAGGGAUUUCCUUUGCUGCGGAGCAUGACAAGCAUAGUAAUUCUGUAUGCUGAACAAUUAUGCAUAUUGAGAUUAUUUAAUUUUUUGUUUCUUAACCGUAAACUAAUGAGAUAAAUUCACUCUUGAUUUAGGGUGUUAAGAAACUGUAACAUUUCUGGCCAAAUUCCUGCAUAUAUAUGGAAAAUUCGGGUUCUACAGAUGUUGUAAGUAUCCAAGUAUCAGUUUAAAACGAUCAUUUAGCUGCUUAUUUACAUGAUUCUAGGGUUACUUACUGGCUGCACGUUGGUCAAUAUUUCUCUGUCCAGCUACUUAGUUCUUCAUUCUGCCUUCAGUAUUUGAGUAAAUGUCUGGACUUUGUUCAAGGGAAACUGUAUUUGGGUAUUAUUCUCCUAUUAUACUCUUUGACAGAUGAUAUACUUCUGUUUCAAAUGUUCAUGGGUUUUGUCCCGAAGUUGAUUGUCGUGCCAUAAUUGAAACAUGAUAUGGGGGACUUGAUAUGCAACCAUAGUUAUGAAAUAAUUCCCCGGAGCACUCAGAAAUGAAUAGACCAAAUAGAAAUGUAUACGCAAUGAAAAAACUAUGUUAUCACGUCUUUAAAUAAAUAUUUUGUUAACUUCAAUUGAUAUGCAGUUCUGUUAAUAACACAGCAGAAUUUGAUCGUACUGAAAUAAUGUGUUUGCAUGAUUCAGUAAGUUCAGAUAUUGGGUAACUAACUACUUUUUGUUUGUUUUUACUGGGUUGCUCUUUUUGACUGUAUCGUAUGUUCUAUGACAUAAACAGGGAUGUGAGUUUCAAUAAGUUAGGGGGAAAUAUUCCUGAUGACAUUGCAAGAAAACUGAAAGUCGUGUGAGUACAAAACUUCAAUCUUUCACUUCUGUAUUAAGUGCAUUUUGGGAAAUAAGUACAUUGCUUGGUAACAUCUUGAAACUACAUUUUUGUCCCUCUGUACGUAAUUCUUACUAUAUGGUUUUCCCUAAUUAGGUUUGUCACUGGAAACAUGCUGAGUGGAAAUAUCCCAGAUGCACUCUUCAAGGAUGGAAGCAAUAUGUACGUUUACUAUCUAUAACCCAUUUGACAUCAUUCCUGAUAUUCCAUCUUGUUUGUGAGUGAAGAUUGAAUGUGCGUUGUUACAACGCUACAUGAUCAACUUUUCCUGCAUCACAAAUAUGAAAUAUAUAAUUUUAAUCAGUAUUAUAGCAAAAUAUUAAGCUGCACAUACUGGUAAAACCUAAAAUUUCUUUCUGUAUUGUCAUCAAUAAUGGCUAUUGAUGAAUGCUUCUGUUUGUAAAUGUAUAAUUUAGAUGCUCCAGCUAAUUUCAUCCAUCUUAUUAACAUUGUGCAGCGAUCUUUCGUACAACAAUUUCACGUUGAAAGGCCCUGAUCAAUCAGCUUGUCAAUCAAAAAUGUUAGGAAAUUCUUUUAAGUAUUUCGUAUUUAUAUUUUCAUCAGCAUGCACUUUUCUGUAUUUAAAUCAUUAACCUCUCUCUGUCCCNNNNNNNNNNNNNNNNNNNNNNNNNNNNNNNNNNNNNNNNNNNNNNNNNNNNNNNNNNNNNNNNNNNNNNNNNNNNNNNNCCCCCCCCCCCCCUCCUUUUAGUAGUAAUCAAAAUGUGAACCUGUUCAAAAGCUCUGCUACUGUAAAUCCAUUGUAAGUUGCAUUUUCUCUUUUUAUUCUUGAAAACUCAUCAAACUAAAACUAAAUGCACACUUGUUUCUGACUGCUUCGAUGCUUAACCUCCAACACAGACAACAAAUGCUUCCUUGUACAAGAAAUGUAGAUUGUCCCAGAUGUAAGUACAUUCCCUUUUGUUAAUUAAAUUCUCCACUUAUUGCCUUGUAAUAAAAUUGAAGUUUUCUUUAUUUUCUUUAUCCGUUUCGCAACUUAAUAUUUUGGAGCAUCUCACUAUGACAAAAUGAAAACAAAGCAAGCUUUGUUCCCAAUGUAUUUGGGAUCAUCCACAUGAAUCUUUUUACUAUAAUUUGUUCAGUUCAUUACUAGAUUUACUGGAAGAUCCAAAUCAACCAGAUUUUUAGCAAUCAGCAACAGGCUAUGUCAGUUUUAGUUUGUCCCUCGAUCUUCUAACCUAUUUUACCAAGAUAGCGUCAUUUGAACAAUAGUGUCUUUUGGUCUAAGCAAAAUAUGUCCUCACCACUUAACUCAUCUUUUUGUUAAUUUAUCCUCAUUCAAUGCCACCUUCCUUGUGUACCCAUGCAGUUUUUGUUUGUCUAAUUCAUAUGUUUUUUAAGGAAGAGUUGUGAAAUUGCUCAUGUAACUAUUUAAUCUUGUUUGUCCAUGCCAGACAAGUGUUGUUUACGUGUUAAUUGUGGCGGGGGUAAUUUGGAAAUCAAAGAAAGCAAUAGAAAAGUUACUUAUGAAGGAGAUGCUGGAGGUGAUUCUGCAAGAUUUUCAAGUACAAGCAGUUAUUGGGGGUUUACUAGUUCUGGAGAAUUCAUGGACCAACCUAACAACCAAAAUUCACGUUCUAUCAGAACCACAUCGACAACAAACCUCUCUGAGUUAUACAGUACUGCACGUCUCAGUCCUCUUUCGAUUACAUAUUACCAUUACUGCCUGGAGAAUGGAAGUUAUAGCGUGAAUCUUCACUUUGCUGAAAUACUAUUCACAAAUGACAACACAUUUAACAGUCUUGGAAAGCGGAUGUUUGACAUAUACAUCCAGGUAGUGAAUAUAUAUGCGAAUUAUAUGCAUUUCCCAAGUGAAUUGUAUGGCUUUAUAAGACCCUCUUUCACUCUCAGGAAAAAUUAGUUUUGAAAGAUUUCAACAUUGAAUAUGAGGCUAGGGGAGCUCAAAGGCCUGCGACUAAACAUUUUAAUGUCACAGUAUCAGAUAAUACUUUGGAGAUCCGAUUUUACUGGGCUAGUAAAGGGACUACACGAAUUCCUAAUAGAGGAGAUUAUGGUUCUGUUAUAUCAGCUAUCUCAGUCAUUCCAAGUGAGUAUUUGCAUUCUUUUCCUUAUAUUUUCCUUCUUGUCCCCCCCCCCCCCCCCCCCCCCAAUUUUAAAAUUUCACUUAUAUAAAUAUGAAGGUAAAAAUCUAAAUACUUACCUUUUGCUAUGCGAUAAUAUUUUAAGUUUAGGAGUUAGAAGAACUUUGGCAUGCGCUAAUAUUUAUUGAUGGUUAUGUAAUUUUUCAUUGAUUUUUACAUUCUUAGGUGCACUCGGCUCAUUGAUUUUCUUCAUCAACUUAUCUCUCCAAAAUCAUUAAUUUCGACCAUCAACACUUCAUUUCAAAUCUAUAUUUAAUAUUUAAGGCUGUGGUCUAGAUUGAGUCUUUAUCUUCUGAAUCCUGUUUUCUUUGUGCUGUGCUUGGGGGUGUGCAUUUGUUAGUUCUUAUUAGUUAUUCAUCUUAGCUAGUAUGAAUUUGGAUGUCAUAGAAAUGACUAACCUGCUAGUAUGAGAUGAACUUAGUUAUUGUUUAAACCUGAGUUUCUCCUUGCUUUGUGUUACAUAAUUAAUGCCUUUUCUUAUAUCUUGCAGACUUCAAAAUUUGUUCAUAUGGAGGCAAGAACAAUUUAACUGUUUAUGUAAGUGUUGGUGUCGUGGCCGGAUGCCUUAUUUUCUCGAUAUUUGGCUUCCUUUGGUGGAAAGGCUGUUUGAAAGGCAGAAAACGGAAAGGUGAUGACUUUGAUUAUCUUAUGAAAACAAGAAUGAUUAUUGAUUCAUAAGCUGGUGAAUAUGAUUAAAUGCACAGCGCAAUUCAUGUUAAGGGUAUCAAAUAUGAAAUAUAAAGUAAACUUCGAGAUGUAACAGUUAAAUAUGCGUACAUUAUCUUUCAAGAGUUCCCACUAGAUCAUAUGAUUUGAAAUGACAUUCGAGGAGGCCAUCUAGUUCUUUCAUUGAAUCAGCAAUAUAAUUCUCUCUUAAAAGUCAAUGGCCACUAAGGACGUUUUUAUUGGACCACCUGUUGUGGAGGUGGAGCAAAAGGAAUUAGGGAGUUCCUCGUUCACCUGUAUAUAAUGUGAGUUUCCCUAUAGCCAUCUAAGACAUAUUGGGAUUUUGAAAUUGGGACUUUCUUCGUUCUUACUCUCUUAACUCUUUAUAAUGGACUUUUUUCUCCUCUUACGUGUAUGUAGGGAUGCCGAGUAAACUUCGUAAAUCUUGUGUCUUCUAAUUUUUUGUUCUUUGUCAUGUGAUAUCAAAUGUACCAUAUCUAUCUGGGAUGACCAAACAGAACAUUGUGCAAAUGAAUGAUCAUUUUAUGUCUUCCGUGAACAGAUUUUGAAGGUCUAGAAUUGCAAACAGUUUCUUUUACUUUGAAACAAAUAAAAGUGGCUACUAACAACUUCGAUCCCACAGAAAAGAUUGGAGAAGGUGGUUUUGGUCCCGUAUACAAGGUAUUUAUUGUUGAGAUAUCAUUAUUUCCUUCAUUUCUGAUGAAUAGGUUUUCUAAAGGAGAAAUGGCACAGGGUCAAUUAUCUGAUGGGACUGUUAUUGCUGUAAAGCAGCUCUCCUCUAAAUCAAGGCAAGGAAAUCGUGAGUUUUUGAAUGAGAUUGGCAUGAUUUCUUGUUUGCAACACCCAAACCUCGUUAAGCUCCACGGAUGUUGUAUUGAAGGAGACCAAUUGCUACUCGUCUAUGAGUACAUGGAAAACAAUAGUCUGGCCCAUGUUUUGUUUGGUAGUUUUCUUACAUGAAAUAUAUUUUUCAAUUUCUGCUUGUUGGUUUUAUAGCCUUUUUUGCUAGGGUGGACGGUACAUUAGUAGACAGUAAUAAAGAAAGCAGUUAAAAUUUUGUCGAUUCUAGUGUCCAAUCUGGGUAACUAAUAUGAUGGUACUGAACAUUCGAAAUUGGUCGGGCUGCAAAAUUCAGGUUCAGGGGGAAGCCAGUUGACGGUGGACUGGCCAACAAGGUUCAAGAUUUGUCUUGGAAUUGCUAGAGGAUUAGCAUUUCUUCAUGAAGAAUCAAGACUGAAAAUUGUUCAUAGAGAUAUCAAAGCAUCUAAUGUUCUGCUUGAUGGAGAUCUAAACCCUAAAAUAUCAGAUUUUGGAUUAGCUAGGCUUAAUGAAGAAGAAAAGACCCAUAUUAGCACCCAAGUUGCCGGAACAAUGUGAGUUCAACUUGGUCAUUGGGUAAUUCUUUACAACCUUUGUACCUUGGCAUGCUCCAAUUCGGUAGUUUCUCAUCUUGAUUGCAGAGGUUAUAUGGCACCGGAAUAUGCACUAUGGGGACAUCUGACCGAUAAAGCAGAUAUUUAUAGCUUCGGAGUCGUGCUUUUGGAAAUUGUCAGCGGCAAGAGCAACAACAAUUACAUGCCAAGUAGUAAUUACACUUGCCUAUUGGAUAUGGUACUAAUCCUUCGGCUCUUCACUUAAUUGCACUUCCCCUGUAAUUAGGGAUGUCAAAAGGAUCAGGCCCGGCUGGCACAGCAGCAAAAACUGCACCAAGCUCGACCACCUUUCAUUUUGAAGGCUGGUCGAGACUGGCCUAAUAUAAAUUGGCGAAAUGGGCUUGGAGCAGCUUGCCAAUAAUAACGACAGCCUGCCCUAUUUGACACCCCUACUCGUUAUGUAGUCCAAAAUUUGACCCUCACAUUUGCAUGCUGACAUUCAUAAUUGUUGCCUAUUUCCCCUUUUUUCCCUUAUCGAAACCAUCUAAUGUCUGGAAAAAAUUGCAUUGUAGGCUUGUCAAUUGCAAGAAACCAAUAACAUAGACGAACUUGUCGACAAAAGGCUGGGUUCUCAAGUGAACCCAGAGGAAGUAGAAAGGACGGUAAAAGUGGCUGUUCUCUGCGCAAAUGCAACUGCAUCUGUUAGGCCUCCCAUGUCCGAGGUAGUCCAAAUGCUUCAAGGACACAUGGCCAUUCCAGAUGUACCCCACGAAGGCAAUGAUGUGAGGUUCAAAACCAUAAAAGGCUUAAACCAAGAAUGGCAAAAUCGAAGUUCAAGUGGAAGUCGAACUCAGAAGUCUACCAUUGUACAAACAGAUGCAGGAGUUUCUACUCCUAGCACUGAAUCUUUAAAUUCAGGUUUAAAUGUUACAACCACAUGGAAGAACUCACCUAAUUUAGUCGAGCACAUCGAAUAAAAAGAAAAAAACUUCAUGCUCCAAAAGGUUAUAUAGCCUAGGAAUUAUAAAACUCUUGGGAUGUAAAUGUAAUGCCUAUUGAAUUUUUAUUCGACUUAUUUAUUAAUACCAUAAGAUUAUGAGUUGUAAUUAUUUAACGUUAGUCAAAAACAAUAAUUUACAUCGACAAAGGAUAAAGAUUCUCCCCGUGAAAUGGGUGGUGUUGAAAAAAUUGUUUUUCAACUCUCCAAUAAUGUUAUGUCACUUAUACAUUAUGGAUAUCUUUAUAGACAUCAUAAUAUACAUGUAACAUAACCCUUUGCUUAAAAAUUUAGAAUUGACUCCCAUGUGACCAUGUCCCGCUGGGCAACAUAUUAAUGUUACUAUUUAAAAUAUAAUAUUUAUGACCGACACAUUUUAUUUUAUUUUUUUCAAUAGUCGAUAUCAUGUAUCAAAAACUCUACUAUUUUGAACUUGUAUGCACAAGAAAGCAUCUAUAUUGCAUUAGAAGUGCGGAAUAUGAAACUGAACGUUUUCGAAGUGGGGCGGACGCUUCAAACUCAUAUUGGCACUAUAUCACGCAAGCUCAUGGGGAUCGGAAUUUUUCUUUUUAUAAUAACUAGUCUAUGUUACGUGCGAUGCACGAGUUGUGCAUAAAUUAUGAUUUGGUUAGCGUAUGUAUUGAAUAUGUUUGAAAAUAUAUUGGAAGAUGGAAUUAUUGGCAAGGAACUAACCAGUGAAUAAUUGAGAUAAUAUUAUACAUAUUGAUGUGUUUGAUUGUGAUUUGUAAAUUUGUAAAUUCAUCGUAAUUAAUCAUGUGUUUGUAUUACAGUCAAUGAUAGAUGAGAGAGAAUAAAAAUUAACUUCAUUACCAUCAUUAAUUACAGAGUAUAGCCAAAAUAAAAAAAAAAAAAUAAUGACUGAUUUUCGAGAUGGAUGAUGUAGGGAUUACAUAUACAUCAUUUGUCAUUACUUUUUUUGUUUUGCAGUUUUUGAUCAGGAAAUUAUACAUAACAAAAUAGAACUUCAAGAUCAAAUUUACAAUGAAGACAAAUUUCACAAAUCGAAUUAGCAAAAAAUUUACAAAACCACACAACACUCUUGUCAAAAUGUUGGUUUUGCGGAAAAUAUUUCGACUACUAUUUACUCCAGUUUUUCUUUUUGAGCAAGUGGAUUUGAGUCUGAACUCAUGUUUUCAUCACAAACCAUUUUUGAGUUAGAAUUCUCAUUAGAAGAUUUGAAAAGGGCUUAUUUCACUGGAGGUGACUAAUCUUCUUGAUAGUCUGUACUAACGUUUUUCCCAACUGUUGUAACCUGACUGUCAACGUUUGUUUGGAUUUUUGGUUCAAGACUUGCAUGAUCAAUAUUUACUUGAAUUUCUUGUCCUGGACUUGGAUGGUCAAAGUCUGUUACAGAGAUGAUAUCAAAUCUGUAACUUGAUGAAUUAGAUUCAUUUUGCGAUGCUUACAAGUAGAAAGCUCGUUCAGUAUUCUGCAUUUUUUUAAUGGUUGCUUCGAAAUUUGUCUUUGAACCCUGUGUUAAUUUUAAAUUGUAUUAUUAUUAUUCUACUAAAAUAUGCACUGAAUGGCAAAAUGUUUGAGACAAGUUAGAUUUCUUACAAAUUUGGUUUCCUCCAUCAAAGACUCUGAAAUUGUAAAUAAUAGUUUCUCAGCUGGUUCACCAAUUGCAUUUGCAUUGAUUGAUCCGGUGACAUCUGAAAGCUGAACAUAUGCUCUAGCCCUAAAGUAAAAAAGAAAUUAGUAUUAAUAGAUACAAGAAUAAUAAAGAGAAGUAGAAAGGUGUAAAAAAUGAAAAGUAAUUAAUCGUUAGUGUAUUUUACCGAGGAAUAGCUUUGGAAUUGGGAUUUUUACAAAAAAUACAAAGAUAUGUUUCUCCAAAAUCAACGUUCGACCGUCUAAAACAGUUGUUGCAGGUUAUGUACCAGGAUUUGCUAUCAAUUUUAUCUGUUGUUGCUGUGCCGUUUACCCAAUAAAACUUUCACUGUUAUAGUAUAGAUAUACUUAGAGAAAUUACAAGGAAAAAUAAAUAAUAUGAUUGAGUGUAUCUUGUAAUAAAUAUCUCUAUAUUAGGAAAUAAAUAGAGAUUGAGUAUCAUACGUAACCUUAAUAUUACCAUUAGAAGGCGUCCCUGAAGAUUUUGAAUAGGAAUGAAUUUACUUCGUACAGGUGGAGAAAGAUUCGUGGGACUUUUGUCCAUGUAUGAUUUUUUGAACACAAAAUCAUCUAUUUUAAUGAAAUUUGUUCUUACCCUAAUCAAAAGACAUGAAGAUAAUUAGUAACUCCAAUAAUAAUGUGCCGAAAAAUAAUUGAGAGGGAGAAAAAAAAAGAAUAAUAAAAUAUAGCACUUUUUACAUACCAUUCUGUCAUUUGUUUUACAGCAUUGAAAGGCACAUUUAUGAAAAAAGUGGAAUGAACUUUCAUGGACAAUUUUAAACCUAUAUAAUAUCAAUAUGGAGAAUGUGUAAAUGAUGUAAUAUAUAUAUAUAUAUAUAUAUAUAUAUAUACACACACACACAUAAACGUUAAGAAAAGUUUAAAUAAUACAAUAGAACAUACCAAAGAAUGAUGUAACCUUUAGAUGGGUUGCGAAGAAGACUGACUUUUUGUCAAUAAUGUCUGCUAUCAGUAAGCAUUCUCUGUCAACAAAUGAAUCCCAAAGUGUAAGCACCAUUGUUUUGAAAUUCAUGUCUAGAAGUAUGAUAUCUUGCAACCAAGUUUGGUUGCCAUCUUUGGAUUGAAUCAAUCGUUUGGGUGUCAUAUCAACUGGAACUGCAAGUAUAUCUGCAAAUUUGAAAUAAGCCAUCAAAUUUAUUUUUUUUGGACAUAAGCUGUACAAAUUUGAAGGAAACUCUAUUUCUGCAGAAUUAGUAUAUGAUUAUUUAAUAUCUAUGAAAUUUUGUCUCACUUAAAUCAGCAUCUGUAUCCAUGUAUUGUUCGAGUUUAUGAAGUUGUGUCAGUUGAUAUGUUGAGAAUACAAACUCUAGAUUAUCUUCAUUCAAUUCUUCAACAUGAGUUUCUCCAGAUAUGGUCCAUUGUAGAGAGCCAGUCAAAUAUCUGUAGUUUGUCGUAUUGUUCUUCACGUAAGUUUUCGAAAUAGUAUAAGUUUUUCCCAGAACAAGUUGAUCCUCAAAAGCAGUAAUAUUGGAAUCAUAUAAGUUUGCCUGAAUAGUAUUACCUGAAAAAUCAUGAUGAACCAUAUAAAUAACUGUAAUAUACAUGAUUUUAGAUUAAGAAAAAACACAAAACAAAAAACAAAAAGAAACGAAGAAAAAAUGUACGAAGAAGAGUUACCUGAGUAUCCAUUAACAUCAAAUGUUGGUACCUUUCAUUGCCUUGUCUCGAAGGCUUUGGUAAUUGUUUUUCAACUACAAUCACUUUAGCUUUUCAUUUUUAAUUGUUGGAAAUAAUUUCUGGUAGAAGUUGGUAUUGUUCUUCCAUGGUAGCAAUUUCGUGACAAUUUCGUAACAAAAUAAUAGAGGUAAAAUGCACACAAAAGGAAGAUUUUUAUGGCAAACGAUUUUGAGAUAUCCAAUUGAGAAAUAAAAGAAGAUAUAUAUAGACAUGUAAAAUUAUAUCAUAUUUGGUUUCUCGUACUUCAUCUUCUAUUCUUAAUUUUAUUUUUUUAUAAAAAGUAAUACAAGUAUGUACUAAGUAAUAUCUUAUUAUUAGCCAUAUACUGUCAUAAGUUUUGUCUGCAUGAGAUAUGGAGAUUACUUGUAAUAUUCAUUUAUUGAUAGUACACAAAUAAAACGUGAGUUCAAAGAUUUAUACUUAGAGCAUACGUAAAACUAUAAUUUAUUGGUACUCCCUAUUAUAAAUAUAAUAAAAGGACGUCAAAAUUUGGAUUAAAAAAGGAAAAAGAUCAAGAUUUACACGGUAAAAUCUUAUCAUACCCAUACUCUAUUGAUUUAUUUGGAUUAAAAAAGGAAAAAAAUAAAGAUUUACACGGUAAAAUCUUAUGAUACCCAUACUCUAUUGAUUUAUAAUGACUGAACAUAGACAUGAGCUGGCAAAGGUUUAAACAUGGUAUAAGAAUGACUCUGAAUUAAAUUAAGUUGUAUUCACCGGGGAAAAAGUAUUCAUACUACAAACCUUCUUUGUAAUGGAAGAAAAUUUUGAUUCAGUUAUUUAUUUAGCUUAAAUAAAUUGAAUUGUAAUAAAUAUCUAAUUACACGUGAAUAUGUUGAUGUAUGAUUUUGUGUAUGAAAUUAAACAAUUCAAAUAAAGACGUAUAUUUGAGAUUUUAUAAAAGGUAUGAAUAGUUUGUAUUUCAUAACACAACAAAAAUAUUUCAUUGAUUGUUGACCAAAUGCAUAAAACAACAAUAACAUACAGCUCAUAUGUGACAGCCUUUUAUCUUAUGGUUGGUCUAUGCUUAUUUAUUAUACUUUUAGUCCCAAAAAUCUCUACAUUUUCAAGAGAGAAACUCCCAGCAGAUUUAAACUGGAGAAACUCUGAAAUUGGCCGGAAAAGAUAACAAUUUUACUUAAAAAUUUACAAUCGAAGAAACUUGUAUAUAUCUGCACAGAUCUGCGUAUGGUGCCCAUAAGAACUCCGUGAUUAUGGUGACCCAUGCUUUAAUGGGUCUCCAUUAUUACGGAGGCCAUAACAAGGCCUCCGUAUGAUGGAGGCCAGUGUUGGCCUCCGUAUUUACAAAGGCAAACGUUGGCCUCCGUAAAUCUGGAGGCUUGGUUUCUUGUGUAGGCAACAGAUUUUUAGUAUGGAUAUAGAUGCUAAAAAUGCUGAAAAACAAUAUGAAAGUGACAGAAAAAUCCGAAGUAUACCAAAUGUAGUGAGGAUUCAUAUAGAAGAUUUGAUGGUUCUAUCAUGUUUACUUGAGUCAAUUGUUUGAACCCAAAGAGUAGAAAUUUUCAUUGUUAACAAAAGAUGUUCACAUUAAUUUCUUAGACACCAUGUACAUAAUAUCAUAAAUGUUUGAAUUUUUGUCAUUUUCAUAUUUUUUUCAGCAUUUUUAGCACCUAUAUCCAUACUGAAAAUCUUUGCCUCCAUAAUCACGGAGGUUUUAGAUUCAUUCAUAAAUGUUUAUCUAUUUUUAAUUUUUAGAUUCAUUUAUAAAUAAGAUGUGAUUUUUGGAAUAAUUUAUACAGAUGUCUCUAGAAUACAUAAUUUCUCCGGAUCAAUGGUUUUCUGCUAUAAUUGUCCAGUAUCCAAAUUUCGAAUAUCUUAAAGACUUUGUAAAAUUUUUAGAUUCGAAUGAGCAAUUUUUGUUGAUGUGUAUUAAUUUUUAUGGAUUUCUUUAUGGAGCUUUCUACAAAGGAAAAAUGUACAAUUUAGUAGUAGGUUGGUGCAUGAAUUUAUAUUGAGGCUUGUAAAUUGUGGGAAAAUUGAUGAAAUUUGGGUAAGGUUAGACGAUCGUGUAGCCAGAUUUAGUAUGCAAGAAUUUUGUCUUAUUACUGGAUUACCUUGCCAUGAACCAUCCAUGGACAUUAAUGAUACAAAUGAUCGUCUUAGAAAUCAAUACUUUAAUAGUACAUAUCGAAUCAGUAUGAAGAUGCUUCAUGAAACAUUCCAUGCGUGUGAACAUGAAAAAGAUAAAUUGAAGCUUGGUUUAGUCAUGUUGAUCGAAUGUGUGUUGACACCCACUUCAAGACAAAUUGAUUAUAGAACUCUUGGUAUAGUUGAGCAUCUGGAUGAGUUCAUUGCAUAUCCAUGGGGUCGCAAAACAUAUUUGAUCGUGUUAUAUUCAUUGAAAGCAUCACAAUCUGAAAGAAUACAAAGGUUGCAACGGAAUGAACAAAUAGAAUGCAAGUACGCGUUACAUGGGUAUCCACUUGCAUUCCAGGUAAUUAGUCACUAUUCUUGUAUUGAUUUAUUAUGUACAAUAUAUUCCCAUAAAAAUUUUUUAAACAUAUAAUGUUUAUUUUUUAUUAUUUUGCAGUAUUUGAUAUAUGAAGCAUUUCCAAAGAUUGGAAAGAAAUUUGGACAUCGUAGACAUAAAAAACCAUAGUGCCCAAGAAUAUACAAGUGGAAACCCAACCAAUUUGUAACUGAAAAAGAGAUAAAGCUUUUUUUGUCUACUCGUCAGGUAUGUUUUUAUGAAUGUACAAUUACUCUUAUAUUCAAUUAUCUUAAAAUAAAAUUAAAUUCAAAAUAAACGAUUUUGAUAUUUCAAUUUGAUUACAGAUUCAAGUGAUUGUUGUGCUACAGCCUAAUGAAGAAGAAUUACAAAGUUUUUGGUACGAAACUCUUUCAUUGCCAGUGAAUAAUAGACACAGCAGAUUAGAUGGGAUUGUAAAUGGAGUAUUAGAUAAUGCAGUAGAACAAAUCCCAGACAAUAUACAUGUGCAAGAAACGAUGAAUCCCGGUACUUCUACAUCUUCACCUGUAUUUGGGUCAGCUCUGUUCCCAGUAGCUCCAACUUUUUAAGUGAAGAUAAAAUGGAAUAAUUGUUGGGUAUCUACAGGCAAUACACAGCAUCAGACGUGUCUGAUGUAUAUAGCAACUUGAACGCAGAAUUUGCUGAUGAAUCAAGAGCUCACCACCAUACGGUUCUUGAAAACCAAAAACAGUUAUUUGAGGAGCAAACAAAAUGGCAAGAAGAUUACAUGCAACAUCAUUAUCAAAUAAUUCUUGACAACCAAAGGCAAUUUUUUGAACAGCACCAGAAGUGGCAGGAAGAGAGAUAUCAGGGUAUACAAUCUUAUAUUGAUACCAGUUUAAGUUCAAUGAGAUCCUAUGUCGACGAACAAAAUCAGGAAACACUGAACACGUUAUCUGAAUGGAAAUCAAACAUGGAAGCCAUCAUAGGUUCCAUGCAACAAGAUGUCCCUCUCGAUAUAAGUGUUGUUUCUUGCGAUAAACCAAAUGAGAUAUCAACAGCUGAACAAAUUGAGAACUCUAAACGGUCGAUAAAAGAGAAGAAAAACAAGGGGAAACAAAUACAGUUUUCAUCAUCUUCAGAUCGUCCUCUAGAAGACUAUCCUAUGCAAAGAUACACAAAAAUUAGAAAUUUUAUAGCGGAGAAUCAAUCUGGGUAAUAAAUCUAAUUUUACUUGUAUUAGCUCAAAUCUUCAAGUUCUGUUUUGAUUUAUUUGGAAUUAAUUAAAAUUAUGUCAUAUAGUGCAUACUUGGACGAUGGCAAUAACAAUGUCUUUGGAAGAGACAUGUUGAAAACUCUAAUGGCUCAAACACAGGACAUAAAUAUUGCUGUAAGUAAAGUCUAUAAAUUACAAUAGAUUUUAUUUCAUAGUCGAUAUAUAUAAUCUAAUUUAUAUCUAUUUAUUUAAUCAAAACAUUGAGUUAGAGUUAAAAUUAUUGAGGCGGCUCAUGAAUGAUGGUUGUCCGCUUGUUUAAAAAGAAUAUGCAAUUAUGGAUUUCAAAUUUGAAGCAGAAUGUGCUUGUCAAAUGAUAUGGCAUACUGACACAGGAAUGGGAACCACAAGGGGUGAAGCAGAUGGAACUCUUAUGGAAAGUUAUAUGAAUGGCACAACACCUAUAUUUGGUCAUCCUUGGAGGACAUGCAAGUAUAUAUUAAUUCCGUACUCAUAUCCGGGCAAUAGCUGGUACCUUUUCGUUGUCAAUAUUCUUGAAUGGAAAUUCCAAAUAUAUGAUUGCAGCAAUAACGUCCACACACCGGAUCAAGUAAAAGCACAUGCAAAAACUUCAUUGACUGUGGUAGAAGCACUAUUGAAAACAACUUUAUCUUCUAGAGGAGAUAUAAUGAAACAUAGGAAUAAACAAAUGAAAGAGGAGAUUAUACCUUUCCUAAACUGUGCAAACAAUGGGUAAGUAUUUAAGUGGCUUGUUUUUUAGCAGAAUAUUUAAUUUCCUAAACUUAGUCAUUUAUUCUAACACUAAACUAUUUCUUCCACAGGCCUAAUUGUGGACUUUUCGUGCUCAAAUAUAUAGGAUGCUUUGUUUUGGGAUAUCCAAUUGAAUCAAUUUCGUCAGAUAGGAUGAGUAUAUAUAGACGAAAGAUUGCGGUAGAUAUCUAUAAUAAUGAAUACUUUCUUCAUCCCCGCAAGUCCUAAUUGUAGUAGAUAAUCAGAAUCUACUGAUUGAAAUAUUAUGUAAUAAACUUGUGUUUUUUAUCCUUUCUUCUCGUAUCUUAUCAGUGACCUAAAUAAAUAAAGAUAUGUUGAACAUGGAAUAUUAUGAAGGACAUGUUUAAAGAUAAUGACCUGACCCUUUUAUAUGCACCAUGUUUCGUACUAACAAGUAAAGUAUAAUUGAAACGCAUAAUAACAUGUAAAAAUAACUAACUUUGUAUAGCUCAAUGUUAUUCUCCUUGACAUAAGAUGGAUUAACAGAGAAAAUAUCCUCUUUUAGGCUAACAAUAGAUUGGCAGUCCAAUUAAGCAAAAUUCGUAAUUAUAGACUUCUUAAGUAGUAUGUCUCAAAUUCAAAAUUUCAAGAUAGACUACAUUUUUUGUGCAACAAUUGUGUGAUUUUAUUUCAUCCACUGGCUUUAUUAGAACUUUUAUGUUUUCUCUUGUUCUUGCUCUAAAUAAAGCGACAUAUAAUUGACUAUGCGAGAAAACAGGUUCAGGCAAAUAUAGUCCAACAAAAUCUAAAGUUUGAUCUUGAACUUUGUUAAUUGUCAUUGCAAAACAAGGACGAAUGGGAAAUUGAGCUCUCUUAAAUGGUACUGAGUACUUAGCUCCUUCAAGUGGAAUAAAUGAAAUUCUAGGUAAAAAUACUUGUUUUUCACGAUAUUCAUCUAUUCUAAUUUCGGCUAAAAUAACACUUCGUUUAAAUUCUCGACAAAUAAGUCUAGUCCCAUUACACAAACCUUCUGAAUGAUUAAUAUUUCUAAGCAACAUAACAUGACAGUUUCUUUUUAGUACAAGUUCAUGUGGAGGGAUACCAUUUGGAGUUAGACUAUUCAAAAAGUCCUCAUGAAUAAAUCCUUCUGCUUUAUCAAUUACUUCAUCAAAACUAAAAUAUGUAAAUAUCUCUCCUGAAAUUUCUUUUACUAACAUAUUAUUUAUUACAUCCACAUGUUCAUUUUUUGGAGUCAAAAUAACUCUGUUCAUCAUAGUAUUCAAAUUGUCACCAUAUGUGUGAAAAUUAGGAAACACAAUAGCAAUUAGUUUUUUCAAUGAUUCAAAUUCACUCUCAAAAUCUAUUAUUAUAUCUGCAGGAAGCUUAAUCAUGUGACAUGUAUGUUCUCUUUCUAUUCCAUUUCCAAUUCUAAGUAAAUAUUCACAGAACAAAGGAUCUAAUUUAGUUCUCAUAUUCUCAGUCAAUGGUAGUUGUAUAAAAUAUUGCCAUAAAUCUGAAAAAACUAAACUGGCCUUCAUGAUAUCAUCUUUUGUUCUUCUUUGUACUACUGGCAACACUUGUCGAAAAUCUCCUCCGAACACAACAACCUUUCCACCAAAUGGCAAUUCACAUUCAGUAAUAUCUUUUAACAUUUUAUCCAAAGUUUCAAAAGCACAUCUAUUAAUCAUCGGUGCUUCAUCCCACACAAUUAGCUUUGUCAUUUGUAAAAGUUGACAAAGUGAUGAUUGUUUACUUACUGAACACCGCAUAUCAGAACUUGCUUGAAGUGGGAUUUUAAAACGUGAAUGACCAGUUCUCCCACCCGGCAAUAAAGAAGCAGCCACUCCCGAUGACGAUGUUGCUAAUGCAAUAAGUUGUCGAGAUCGUAUUGCAGCAAGUAAUGACUUGUACAGAAAAUUUUUUCCAGUACCUCCUGGACCAUCAAUAAAAAAAACUCCAUUUUUAUUAUUUACAACACAGUCUAAAAUAACAUCAUAGACAGAUUGUUGUUCCUUAUUUAAAUUCUCUGUAAAAAUGCAUGUCACACUGAAUAUUAAUAUUUGUAGUCUCUUCUAAAAUCAUGUUUGCUAACACAUCAGCAUCAUUCACAAUUACAUCAAAAUCUACCAGACCAAAAUCAUUUAUGUUUGUACCAAAAACUUCCAAGAAUGAAUUUAUGCAUCUCAAAGCCCUAAUCUCGGCAUCACAUACUGUCAUGCUUUCAUGUAAAAAAUCUUAUAUCAUGUACACUUUAAAUUUAACCCAUAAAUUCCUAGGAUUUGCAGGGCUGCAAAAAAUCAACACAUUAGCAAAGAGGCGACGCAAUGAUAUAGGCAUUUCAUAGGUGAUCGCCUCAUUUAAACACAUUUCACAAUAAUUAUUCCCACCUAUGAGACCAUGUAAAAAUGCAGCUUCGCGAUAAGUAGGCAAAACAAUGUUAUUAACUGUUCUUAAAUCUUGAAAAGACUUAGACCCUUUAACAUGAUUCAAUAAAACUCUUAGAAAGUAUCUCUCGCCCUCAAAUGGAUUAGCAGCAACUAUUCUACCAAUAACAUUUUGCUUCUUUCUAGGACUCCAAACUCGAAAAUAUGUAUUCCAUACAAAGUAUGUAGGAAAAUCCUUAUAAAGUAAAGUUCGUGCCUUUUCAUUUGAAAUAUUCAUUCUAAAACAUUCAGUUAACAUUGUUCGUUGAAUGGAGUCUUUAUUUAUAACUUCUGAUAGAUCAUCUGUUUCAUUAUAUGUAACCAACUGAGCAUCUUCAAUAUGUAACUGCAAAGAAACUACAGAAGGAGAUAUGUCGAAUAAAUCAAAACUAAAAAUUCUCCAUAUAGCUUCCGGUGCAGAUAUCCAUCUAGCGGUUUGAUAAUUCGAAAUCUCAUCAACAUAAUGCUCAUUAGUUCCUUUAUUUACCGUAAAAUUAACACGAUCAUGUCCUUUGUAUACAUAUUUGUAUAAAUAUUUGACUGCUUUAACAGAAGAACAUAUUUCAACAUUAGUGUGACAAUCAUACUUAGCUAAAAUAUAAGGAUUAUAUGGUACAACUCAUCUAUUGUCUAGUACAGACCCUCUGACCUUAACGGUAACACCAUCGUCACGACGCCUAUAAAGUGGAUAUGAAUCAUUACCUAAUGAAGAAUGCAAAAUGUAUUCUCUUGAAUACUUGUUUUUACAAGUACAGUUAUUUUUCAUGCACACAUUUGUAGGAUUUAAUUGUCUACAAGGACCAUGCAUCAUAUGUUUGACCACAGUAGCAUACAGGUGAGGAUUUCUCUUUGGAUCUGGUAUUUCAUAAGAAACAAUUUCAUCAACUUACGUAGAAUUAUUAAUCUUAAAAUUCGUUUUAAAUAUCAGGAGAAAAUGAACAUGAGGUAGACCUCUUUUUUGGAAUUCAAUUACAUACACAUAGGCAGCUAUAGGCCCUAGAAUUUCUCUCUUUAUUAAAUCUAUUUUUAGUUCUUCAAGUUUUGCUCGAAAUAUUUGGGCUAACAAAUCUGGCCUAUUUUGUACACUAUCAUUGUGCCUCAAUUCUUGUUUAAUUUCAGGCCAAUUUGGAUUGCAUGUCAUUGUUAAAAAUAUAUCAGGUUUUCCAUAUCUUUGAACUAAACACAUUGCAUCCAUAUAUCUUUUAGUUAAAUUUCUAGGACCCCCAAUAAACCCUGUAGGCAACACAAUUGAUUUGCCAAUUUUAUAGCCUCUAUUCUCACCAUUUUGUGUACUAUCUAAAAUUCUUUGGUAAAGUUCACCUCGUAUAGUCUUUUGAUUAUUACGAAAAUAAUCUAAUCUCGUAGUUUCAAUCUUAACACACAUAUCCACUAUAUAUUGUUGUAGAAGUCUGCCUGUAUGAAGGAGUACAGACUUAUCUGAAAGUCUGAUUUGAAGUUUAUAGCAAUAAUAUUCAUGGCAUGACACAGUAAUUCGUUUCUUACCUCUCUUCAUAGCUGAAAGGGAAAAAAAAUUAAAGUCACAAAGACAGAUCUAGAAAUGACAAUACAUUUAUGCACUCUAAAAAUAUUAAAAAAUUUCAAUAGUAAUAAAACUUACCACGAUCUUCCAUCUCUAUAAGUUGUUCGGUCGAAUCAAUUUAAUUGAUUUGUAUGAAAUCUUCAUGGACUAUUAAAGUAUUCAAAUUUAUCUUUUCGAUACCUUCAUGCCAUCCAGGUUCUCCAUAGGUAAAUAUUAAUGGAUAUUGAAGUAGAUCAUAACGGCCAUAAUAGUAAUUUACUCUGUGUAGUAUUGGAACGUCCAUAAAUUAAUAUAUCACGAGUCUUUAUGCUUGCAGAUGGAUCAUCAUCAACCCACACUGCAGCCACCUAUUCACAUGAUGGCAUGUUAUAUACUCUCUGGUCGAGACCCGGAUCAGACCUCAGUAUGAUACAGCACGAAUCAAAAUCAGAAACUUUACUUAAUGAUCGAAAAAAACGACGAUAUGGAUUUAUCUUUAAGAUAUCUAUUAACUUUUUCAAAGUUGAUUCACUUAACCCAUCUGAAAUUUGUAGUCUAUUACUAAUUUCAUUAUAAGUAUCGUAUAAGUAUAACUGCAAAUAUGUAGGAUUUCCAUCAGUUGGUAGAAGUGGAUUUAUAAAAUGGUAUACCUGUCCCUGAACUUUGAACGUAAUACACCUCUAUUAUUUUUGCACAAAUUUUUAUCAUAUUUAACACCAAAUGAAGUGAAUGCAAAAUAGUUGUUGUAAGUAUGAGCAACUUUUUAAAAAGCAAUCGCUUCACAUGAAUUAGAAGUAAAUAGCUCAUAUAAUUCAGGGAGAACACUGUUCAGCUGUAAUUUAACCUUUCCAUCACAACAACAAAAACCCUUACUUUCUUUGUAAAAUUUUUUUGCACCACAAUGUUUACAAAUUGUACAAGACGGAAGAAUAUAAGGUUCGACUGGAAUAUUUCCUAUAUCAAUUCUCCUAGAACGAUCUAAAAUGAUAGGAUCAUAUGAACCACAUUGAGAUUGCAUAUUGUCAUCUUCAAAUUGCUUUUCCACGCCAAUGUUUUCAUCAACUUGAAGAUCUUUCUAUAAGUCGACAUGAUCAAUAGAAUCUACAAUCAUAAAAUUAGUAUACGAUCCCUGAAAGACAACAAAAGUGCAAAAAUUGGAUUAAAAAAUAAUUUCAAAAAAAAAAAAGAUGAAAGAAAAGUGUACUACAACAUGACCAAAUAAAUAGCCGGAUGCAAAAAAAAAAAAUUAUAAAAAAAUAUAUUCAAUCUACGAAACCUGCUGUGAAUUUAGGACAACAUCUCCUCCUUCUUCCUGUCAUAUGUCUAGAACUUGUAGAUAUUUCUAUAAUACCAAAUAUUUAUGUUAAAAUUACGUAAAAAAUAUUAAACCAACAAGAAAUCACAUUUAAACAAUAAAUCGUAUCUAUAUGUCUCCUACGCAAUUUGUCUUUUUGUACCCUUGGCUGAAUUACAAGUUCAGAAUCUUGUGCCUGUGUGGAUAGGUCCAGCCUUCUUAAACGAGCACGUCUAUUCUUAAACCAAUUAUAAACAUUCAUAUCAGAGAUUGCCCAUGCAACGAUAGUUCGAAAACUGUCUGCAUGAUCCUUGACUUGUUUGGGGUUUUAUUCUCUUGAUUAAAUAUAGAUUCAAGAACUUGAAGCUAUACAGAUGUAGGUGUCCAAUAUUGCUUACUCAUUAUAUUGUUGAAAGAAAGAAACCACAAAAAUCAACUCAAUAAAAUUGGAAACAUAACUAAGAGUAUGCACAUUGAAAAAAAUAUCCUCAUAUAAAAGAAGCCAAAAAAAUGCAUACAUUUUCAUGACCCGAACAAUAGGAAAUAUAUCGAAAAAAAACCCACCACCAACAACAAGUCUAUCGUUGAAUUAAAUAUUGUUGAACAAAAUAUACACGCAAUUGAAGACAUGGAGAAAACAAAAGGAUGGGAGGGAUGGGAAAGGUACGAUGAAAAUAAGGACAAAGGCAAGGUGCUUGCACGAACGAAACGAAAACAACGACAUUUUCGUUCAAAAUGUAAAAUGAAAAUGACAUAGACAGGAAAAUGAAUAAAUUAUACUCACUUAAGUAUUAUAGUUGGAAGAAAAAAAAACUAAAUAUAUUUAUUCAUUUUUCUAUUUCUAUAUUAUAUAUUAUAAAUUUUUGUCAUCACAUAAAUAGAAAUUUUAAAAUUUUAAAAAUAAUGUUAAGAAAGUCUGGCUAUUAGUUAAAUUCCAUACAAAAUAAGAAACUGAUGUUUAAACUAAAAUAUAACUCCAUAUAAAAUAAUAAAAUUACGUUCGACAAAACAAAAAAAUAAUAUUGAAGUAUUUGUUGUAAUAACAGUUAAGAGAAAAAGAAGGGAGGGAGGGAGGGGGGGAAAUAAUGCCUCUAUAAUCACGGAGGCUCAAAAGGCAAAGCCUCCGUAAUUACGGAGUCAUCAAAGUGCCUCCAUAAUUACGAAGGCUCAAAGUUGAGCCUCCGUAUCACUACAUACGGAGGCACAUUGAGCCUUCGUAAUUUACGGAGGCUCAACUGUCUAGGCACCAAACCGCCUUCAUAAUUAACAAAUUUCAUUUUUCUCCCUUUCUUUUUUCUUUACUAACUUUCAGCAUCAAAAUUUAAUUUCAUUUAAUCAACUUAGUUUUUUUAAUAGAUGUGAUUCCUAAAAUAAAUACAUAAAAUAUAAUUCAUUUUUUUAUAUAUACAAAUAUUAUAUAAAUUCAAUGAGUAAAAAUGUAGAUAAAUAAUAGACAUAUUACAUAUUAAUUAUAUUUCCAAUCGUAACCUUUUGAUUGCAAUCAAAUAAUGUGUGAAACGUAUUAAGAUAAAAUAGUCACUCACGUGAUAUUUCAAUAAUUUCUUUCUCCUCACUUUUAUUUUUGGGAAGAGUAAGAUCAGGCUUUUUUGGUAACAUAUUGUCCAUUUCUACAAUCCGUGAACCUUUUGUCAAAUCUGGAGAAAAGGAAAUAACAUAAGAAGUACAUAUCCUCUAAUUUAAAUAGCUUCUCAUGUUUUCAAAAUUUACCUUAAAUCACUCCUCACAUAAAAUAUUUACAUAUCUUUGCUUGCAGGUACUCAACAAAAAGAAAAUCAGGUGUUUAUCUACUCUUUCCUGAUUACCAUAACUAUUUUUUCAACACUAAAUUUUAUAGUUUUAACUUACAUCUUGUUUAUUGAGAUGGACUAAAUGUCAAUCUUCAAUUUUUUUAUUAAAAAUCGAACACAAAUCAUGAAUUUUUUACCAAACUUCACGAUAUUGUUCUACAACGGCAUAUGGAAUAUAUUUUUUUUUUUUGGAUCACAUACAAAGUUUAUCUUAUAGACAUAGAACUUCCAUUAACAAACUUUCUAAUUCGCCUAUACUGUAAAAUCUACCUUAAAAAUCUAUAUUAGGGCCUCCACAACGUAAAUAAUAGAGUUAUUCUAACAAAAUUUUCAUUGUACUAUAUUGAGACAGAAUGGAGGUGCCACGUCGUUUCUUCAGAAUCAUUACUCCUCCACAAAACCAUAAUACCCGUUUGGUUAGUCACACAAGAGUUUCUCAUCUCACAUUUGAAUGGAUGCAUUCUUAAUAUCUCUCUCAUACUUUUUAAUAUAUAUGUAUAGAUGCUUCCCAGAUCCUUUGUCAACGAUUGGAGACACCAACUUGGUGACACAGUACGCGUAACUGCAUAUGAUGGUAUAAUUGUCACAAUACGAUUGGAAAGAGAUAAUGGAAGAAUAUUUUUUGCCUAUGGAAGGGAACAAUUUUUUGACCAUCAUAACUUACAGGAUGCUCAUGUUUUGGUAUUUGAAUAUAACGGAAGAUCCACAUUCAAUAUGAUCAUAUUUGACCAUUCUGGAUUAGAGGUCACAUAUGACUCCGAUGCUCCCGAAGAAUACAACGCUUCACAUACAUAUAACCCUGCAUUUGAAAUAACACUAACACCUCAUCACAACAGCCAUCGGGAAAUUGUAAGUGUCAUUUUUAAUAUCUCAUUCUACAUUCAUCUCUUCCCAUAAAUUUGAUUCAAAGAUCAAUAAUUUAUUCAUUCAUGAUUUUUCAAGAUAUAUUAGGACAGUUCUCUAGAUAUCACCUACCAAGAGGUCUGCGAAGUGUUCAAAUCCAUGAUUCUUUACAUCACGACUGGGAGCUCGCCACAAACUUGCGACCAAAUGAUCUAGUAAGAUGUAUGACUAUAGGCUGGGCAGAUUUUUUUUAGAGAAAAAGAACUACAAAUGGGCGAUACAUGUGUCUUCAAACUUUUGAACAGUGAACCCCCAACGUUCAUCGUCUACAAAAAAGACCAUGUUGGUGGAAGUUUGACACGUCUAUGAGACCUCUUUACUUUCUUCUAAUAAUUUUCAUGUAUUUCUAUUCUGUUAUUUCCACGUCCAAUUCUAUUUACUCUCUUAUUUACCAGUUUACUCCAGAGUUUGUGUACAACAAAUCAACAUCGAAGUUCAACACUAUACGAGGAAAAUGAAAAAUCAAAUCAUAUGAAAGUAGAUUUCCCCCUCAUUAAUCAUCGCAGGAAAAACCUUUAGAUAUUACUGCUACCACAAACUAAAGAGAAGUUGAAAACAUUCUCCACCACUACCUGCAAACUAAAAUAAAGCCAAAAGAACAUGUUUCAACGAUCGAACAAGCAAAGAGAACAAAUACAAUAUAAGCACAAUGAUUGAAGCACAAAAUACAGAUAUCCCAAAUAUAAUUGAAAUAGAAAUAUCAUAAAUACAUGAAAAAAAGAAAGGAAACUAUGAAACUCAAAAAGAAAAAGGAGUAGCAUGUGAAAAUGAAGAAGAAGAAAGAAAAAUCUAUAUAAAGUGAGUAGCUUACACACACACACACACACACACAUAUAUAUAUUUUCUUGUCUGGACGGCCUCGUCUUGGCUCCAGACAUGUAAAAAAUUAAAAAUAAAAAAAUUGACAGACGGCGUCGUUUUUACUCCAGGGAAAAAAAAAGUUGCUACAGUGUGUAGAAAUGGAAGAAUUUACCGUUCUUUCUACAAUAGCAACACAUUGUCCUUUUUAUAUUGUAGGAACACGUAAGUUUCAAUAUAUUUCGAAGAUAAAUAUUUGAAGUGGCACCUAGAUCCGCCGUGACAUGUCUACGUUCAACUUUGAAGUAGAGUUCAGGUAGGGCCAAGGAAUAAAUACACCCGUGACAUGUCUACGUUCAACUUUGAAAUAGAGUUCAGGUAGGGCCAAGGAAUAAAUACACCACAUAUCACAUAUGUCAAUAUCUAAUCUAUUAACAUCGCUAUCAAACACACUGAUUUUUAUUUCCAAUCCAUUUAAAUUUAUAAAUACACCACAUAUCACAUAUGUCAAUAUCUAAUCUAUUAACAUCGCUAUCAAACACAUUGAUUUUUAUUUCCAAUCCAUUUAAAUUUACAGUAAUUAUUUAAUUAUAAUAUUAUUUAGGAGAGGGAAGAAAUUUUCUUGAUCAGAUACUAUUUCUUGAGUAGAUUUGUGCAGGUUUUCAAUUAUUUUUACUAAUUUGUUAUUUAUCCAUACUCGCUAAUUUCAAAUUUAUUAAAAAUAAGGAUUAAUUGUUGCUUGUUAUUAGCUUGUCUGGUUAUAGGAAAUUAGUGCUUGACGGAACAAAGGAGUUUUUGUUUCCAAUAAAUUUGAUAAGCUACGUGGAUUGUUUAAUUUAUUAUUGAAAAUAAUUAAACAUUGACAACCAAACCAUGUUGAUUUUGGUACAUCCCUUCUUUUAUUUAUUUAUUUUUUUCCGUGUUCUAGCAAUAUCAUUUAGGCCUUGUUAGGUAGAAAUUUUGAGAAUUGAUUUUUUUAUUGUUAGGAGAAAAGUGGGGGUUGCCUGUGAGAGAAUAAAUCAAAAAUUACAACAGAAAUAGUAAAAUAACGAUCAAAAAAUUAAUUUUUUUGAGUGAAAAAUCACUCUCAAACACCCCUUUAAUUUGUACGAAAAAUAUUAUUAGUUGGAGCACUUAAGAAUUUCUAGAUAUUAUAGGCGGCUUUGAGAGAGCUUGCAAUGUGAACACUACAAAUUAAGUCAAUCAACAUGUACCAGCAUUGUCUUGUUAGGAAAAGUUUUGAACAUAAAGGCAGACCAAAAGUCUGACUUCCCUGGGAUGGGAUGUCCCUCCAAUAUUUAAUUUCCUCGUCAGUUUAUGAAGAAUGAAUUAGUCGUGUACACACUAAUUUUUCACAAAAGAAUUCCAAAAAACUCAUAGGAUGGAUGGGUAUGUUUUGUAAUUUUUUACUCACAUAGAACCCAUCCAUGAAAGUGUUUCGUAGGGCUAUGCUAAAGAAGAAGAAGAAUAGGGCUAUGCUAUCUAUACAAUUUUAGUGUAUAUAAUCGUUUACACCCCCUCACAUGGAAAGGGGCUCGAAUAUAAUUUAUUAUGUGUGGACCUCCUCCAUGUAAGGAGUGUAAAGGAUUAUGUACAACAAAAUUGUACAAAUAGACUAAUUCUUGUAAGGAUCAUACUGUGUGCACACGACUUUACAUUCCCUCACAUGGAGGGGAGCCCACACAUAAUAAAAUAUUCGUGGACCCCCUCCAUAUGAGGGGGAUGUAAAGCUGUGUGUACACCGACAUUUUCUUUCUUGUAAAUAUCUGCACAUUUUGCAUUGGAAAUCAUUGUCAAAGAAUCAAUAAUUGAUUAAUGAUAGCCUACCAUUCAAAUUUUAUAGAGUAUGGGACAACCUUGCAAAGUCAUUAAUUUAAGGUAUUGAUAGCAAAAUUUCCAUUGAACCUAUAAAGUAAAUGCUUACUGCAAAGAACUUUGCUACAUGUACACUUUGUCACGUGUCAUUAUUCUAUUUGACAGUUUAAAUUUCAAACAGUUUUUUCAUCCAAUUGACACUUGACAACAACGCAUAUGUCAACUAAAGUGUCAAAAAUCAAUGUAUAAAUAACAAUGUUCUACUGCAAAAGUAUUGUUUUAGAAUAAAGCUGGUUGUAUAGGGCCACAUACCAGCAGAGUCUGAAUUAUUCUCUUUUUUCUUAGGUGGUGGAUGGGUGGAUAGUAGUUGUGCACUGGUAGCUUUAUAUCAAUGUCCAGUGUAUUGUUCCAUUGUUUGGGUGAAGUUAAAAGAGCUGGUGGCUGGCACCAUGCUUUUGAUCUAUAUUCAGUCAAUAAGAAUGGGCCAUAAUGUUAGUAAUUUAGACUAUCGGGCGAACAUGCUUAAGAAGGAAAAUUAAAAAAUUGUCUUGAACCUUAUAAGUUACAUAUGAUUAUAUUUCUAUGUACUUGGCUCGCAGGCUCAGUAUUAAAUUAAAGAUGGGCGAUUGAACAAUCCUCAAACAUUAUGUUUAUCAUUUUGCAAGCAAGGAAGCAAAAAUAGUUAAGAUGUCCUAACUUAAGUGUGUGUGCCACAUUAUUUUGAAAGAAUGUAUGUUGAAAUGGUAAAAUGAUGGAGAAUUAAUAUUAAUUUAUUGAAUAAUGCGUGGUUCAAAUAAUGUCAAAUCACUGUUUAAAAAUGUAUUUUCUCCAAAAAAAUUGCAGCUCAAACGGGGACUAAGUGCCUUUUGACUGAAAAUAUAGGGCCUAUUUGGUAGGAUUUUUUGAAAAGUCAAAAGCAACUCUGAUAUAUUUGGAUAAUUUUCUAAAUGUGCUUUGUUUGACUAUAAGAGCUUUUAGAGAAAGUUGAUCUGAAUCAGCUUUGUCAUAAAGCUCUUCUAAAAGAACUUAAAGGAAAAGCAGCCCCUACCAAUCAUGUCCAUAAAAUAAACGUAUAUUUCUUGUAAUUGUAGGAAUAAAAGCCCAAAGUCGUGUAUAAUGUCUCAUCUUCUCGCUCUAUAUAUACCAGUGUAUUUUUCAGCCUAAUGACUCUUAAGCCAAGAGGAGAUGAUAACAGUUGCCAAGAUGUCAAGAGCUUUUUUUAGUUUUAUGUUCACCUUGACUCUAUUACUUUUCUUCGAAGCAACAACUGUUUUAGCACAGAGUGGAUCUCUUCCUGAGGAGGAGAGUAAGUCUCACUUCUUUCUUAUAAACCUUUUUUCCUAUCCCCCUUCGCGUGUAGUUAGGAUUUCUAUGAUUUUCGAACAAUUUUUGCCCUUCCAUUCAACUUCUGCUUGCUUAUCUCUAAAAAUUCGCUUUGUUCACCAUGCAUCGAAUCACAUUUCAAUAGUAAUUGAGUUCCAAUUUUUCCAGAAAAUGCUCUUCAAGAAAUAGCUGAUCAGGUGGGAAAAAAGGAUUGGAACUUCAGCCUGAAUCCUUGUGACGGGAACUCAAACUGGUCGACACCAAAAAGAAAUGAUAUGCCAUGGUACAACAAUUCUGUCAUCUGCAAUUGUUCUUUCCUUGGCGGCGUAUGCCACGUAGAUAUUCUGCUGCUACAUUGAUCUUGAAGCAGGAAAAUAUAUGGUGGUUGAUUAUCUGUUUACCAAUCUGCAAAAAUAAUACUUUCAUGGGAAUAUAUUAUAUUUCUUUCAUGUUUAACCCCACAUGAACUUACGGUGCCUAAUAAUCAAACUUGACCUUUCUGCUCUGUUUUAUAUUGCUUGAGUCUAUCAUCAUAAAUUACAAUCAGGAUCUGCUCUUAACAUGUGUAUCUGAAUUUCUUCAAUAAUCAGUGCUAGUGAUAUAUUCAUAAAAAAAAAAAAAAAAGAAGAAGUUCCAGAAUGCAACUUUAUUUCACCAUGUCAAUGUUACAAGUUACUUUUUCGAUCUUUAAGUUUGAGUCAAAAGUGAAAUUGCAUAAAAUUUGUAGUGUACUCUAGACGAAGCACCAUAAGAAGUUGCUUAACUUCAAACACUAGGUGACAUGAAAUACAUCGCUUUACCUGGGAAAAUCCUUCUGUUUGAUUUAUUGCUUGGUUUCUUAGACCUUUCAAGAAACUUUUCUUCGUGUGUUGAUAUACUUGUAUAUUAAAUUUGAUAUCAAAUUUCAUCAUUUCAAUUUAGAGUACUCUAAUGAGAGACUCUUUUUCUCUGCAAACAGAUUUCUUAGAGGACAGGAUUUAGCAGGUGUCCUUCCACCCUCCCUAUCGAAGUUACCCUACAUCAAGACAAUGUAGCAAGAAUUUCCAAGUUUAUGUUCAAUUUAUUAUAAUCUACUCAACUUUUUGCUUCAAAAUGAUGAGCCAAUUUAUUGGCUUCAUCGAUCUCACUCUUAAUCUAUUGGCUGCAGUGAUCUUUCUCGCAACUACCUCAGUGGUACAAUACCCAAGGAAUGGGAAUCUACCAAUUUGGAAUACGUGUGAGCUUUCCCUGUAGCUUCGUCAUUGAGAUUUUGAUGUAAUGUCUAAAUUCUUAGUUAUAUUGACAAAGUAUAUGUGAUUUUUAGGUCUCUUAUCGUGAAUCGCUUAUCUGGACCCAUACCAAAAUACUUGGGAAACAUUACUACCCUUGUAUAUUUGUGAGUUCCUGUCUAGCAUUCAGAUAUUCUAUUUCAUUUUGACAUAAUUCUAAUUAUAAUUUUGAAAUCUAUUGAACUUUCAGGAGCCUGGAGGGCAAUCUGUUUAAUGGGACCAUUCCAACAGAGUUAGAGAAGCUGGUUAAUUUAGAAAAUAUGUAAGACCUUUUUGAUCAUCCAUAUUUUAAAGAAUUAUUUGAUCGAAUUCGUUGAAUUUAUAUUAUGUUCUGUUUCACUUUUUUCGUCCUUGCAGCAUUCUAAGUGAUAAUAAUCUCACUGGUGAGUUGCCGAUUGAAUUAAAUAAUCUGAAAAAGUUGACAGAACUGUAAGUAUGUUACCACACCUUUCUUGAAUUAUAAAGUAAUUCAGCUAUCGUGGGAUAACAAGUGUUUUGGGGGCCAAUGCAGUAGGCUAAGCAGUAUUAACUUCACUGGAAAAUUACCUAGUUUCAAGAGCUGGGCAAACCUUCAGAAGUUGUAAGUCCUUUUCCUGAGAAAUAUAUUUCCAAAAUGAAAAAUUUGCAGUUUCGACUUUUGUUUAUGUGACAUUGCUUAUCAACAGAGAGAUACAAGGGAGUGGUUUUAAAGGCCCCAUACCUCGCAGUAUUUCCAUCUUGAAAAAUUUAACUGAACUGUGAGUUGAAACCUAUAGAGUCACCUUUCAAUUUCUCAAUCUUUCAGUAACCAUAUUACGUUCAUUUACUUAACAUUAUUAUUGAAGAUGAAAAUUGAUCUAAUGUGAUAUCUUUGCAGAAGGAUUAGUGACUUGAAUGGAGGUGCUUCAGAGUUUCCACUGCUAGGAGAAAUGAAAAUGAUGAAUAUCUUGUGAGUAAAUAUCAUAUUAAAAGCUGAUAAUUUCUAUCAUUGAACUGCAUAUUUAAUAAAUGUGUUGUGUUCUUGCAGGAUGUUAAGGAGCUGUAACAUAUCUGGAAACAUUCCUAGGUACCUUGCAGAUAUGGCAUCAUUGAAGAUUCUGUAAGUACAGAUUCUAGUACUCUUCUUCUUUUUACAUAAUGCAAGAGCUUGCCACUAUUCUUUUUACAAGACGAAUAUCUGGAAACCUUGUAAGUUUGGUUUUUCUCCUGUGCUUCCACUGGUUUUCUGCCGAUCUAUUUCUUUCUUUCUGGAUAUCAUACAAAAUUAAGAUUCACUUUGUUGCGUUACUAUAAAUAUGCACUGCCAUAUAGUUCUUAAGUAGAGAAACUCUGUGCUUGAUUUAAAGAUAUACUCUGUGGUGUAUUCACAGAGAUCUGAGCUUUAACAAGUUGAAAGGAGAGGUUCCAAAUCUUGAAGGCCUAUCAAAACUAGAGACCAUGUGAGCAAAUUAGUUUAUUUAAUUAAUUUGUCUGACAUUCACCUUUCAUAUACUGAAGCACGUGUCAUUCAAAUAUACCCCUGUACAUGUGUUCUUGCAUGAUAUUCUGCGCAUUAUUCAUGUUAUGUUGCUUCAGAAUCUUCAUUUACUCUUAAAAUGUAUAAUUUUGUGGCUGUGAUUAGGUAUCUGACUAGUAACUUCCUUACCGGGCCAAUUCCAGAGUGGAUCAAGAGCAAAAAUCCUAAACAGUAAGUUCACUUCUAUGUUUCUUAUUAAAAUAUCAACUUAUAUCUGUGAUUCAUUAGCAGCAUUAUCCAUCAUCCAUGACGGUGUCCAAAAAUACUCAUGUAUGUAAGCAAUUAACCCUAAUACCAAGAUUUUAGAAUUUCAUGAUUUUCAUGAGUAAAUUUAAUUGAUCAAAAACAUACCUUGAUUCAUGACAAUUAAUUGAAGAUUUAGGUUUGCAAAAAUAAGAGAAACAAGAAAAUAAGAAACCGUUCUCUUUCUCUUUUCUUCUCUGUAAUUGAAUGUAUUACUUGAUGUGUUCCAUUCACGUUUAUACACACAGAGAGACAGUUUCAUCGGCCAUUAAAAUAAUUGUCCACCUUCCAUCAAAGUGGAUAAUUAUAAAAAUGUUACUUCUCAAUGAGCCAAUAGGAUUUUAGCAAUAAAUAAACCAAUUUAAUUAAUUGUCUUAUAAUAUUCCACAGGCCACAAAAUUAAUUGAGUUUACAUUGUUGAUCUUUUGAUUUCUUGCAAGUGGACAUGAUCGUAAACAAGUAAUAAAGUGAUGUAUAGAGUGUCGAGCCCACAAAGACUACGCAUUUGAUCGAGUUAAAGCUAACAAUGCCCUUAAUUGAAUAGUAAAAUCAAGUGGUAAUUAAACACUAUUAAAUCUAUCAACUAACUUAAAAGCAAUGUGAAGAAGAUAUAUCAAAUUCGUAAGACGUAUUGUUAAGAUAUAGAAUUUCCAUUGUUAAUCCAUUUUUAGUUCAACAAUUUAAAUGGACAAUUUGAAAUCAUGCUGGUUGGUCAAUGUUCCUAUUUUAUUUAAAGGCUUCCCUCGAUAGCCUUUAGAUCUAAUCCUACAGUGAUUUUUCUAUAUCUUUAUGAAAAAUAAGAACGUACAAGCAAGCAUUAAACGAGUUAAAACAUUUAUAAAAAUUAUGUGAAGCAUACAUGUAUAUUUCUAUUCUCUAUCAAACCUCACAAUAUUUAUUACUAUGUGUCAAUGAUCUUAUUAUCUCUCUCGAUGACAAUAAUACCCACGAACAAUUCAAUUAAUAGCCAGUUAAUUGAAAAGCAAAUAAAACAAUAAUAAAUAUCCAAAAAAACUAAACAAAUUAGUGUCAAAUUAAUUAUUCAAACUAAAAACUUCUUAACAAUGGUUCAUCACAUCCCAACAAUAUUAAAAAGUUUAGCCAAGCAUAUUGUCGAAAUUAAACACGCAAAAGUUAAAAAAUAUCCCCAAACUUUGAUGGAACGUAAUUAAAGUUGAAAAAUUGAAUCUGCCUUUUUUCCUACUGUAGUCGCCAACUGCUUCCAAUUUUUAUGUCCAGCAGCUAUAUGUUAAUGUUUUAUCUCCAAAUUCAGCAGCCAAUUGCGUUCAAAUUCUACCUUUUUCUGCGUGUAUAAUCUCCCUCAAGUUUUCUCCAAAAAUUGCCGACUUGUCUUGCAAAUUUUCAGCCCUUUUUUCCUUCAAAAUCAGCCCUAUUUUCCGCCUCAAAGUUGCUACAAGUUUCUAUGUUUUCUUUCCCCAAAAUAGCUGCCCAUUGUGGGUCUGAUUCCACCAAGUUGGCUACGUUUCUGGUGUGUAUAAAAUUCCAGCACGCAACUCGUUUUUAUUUCCUCAAUAUGCUACAAUUGUUGACUUGGAAAUCCAACAAAUCAGCCGCCGUAUCCUGUUUCUAAAGUAUAUAAAUUCCAGCAGGCAUCUCGUUUUCUCUUCUUCAGUUGUCUGCUCCCUCUUUUCUUUCUUUUCUGCAUAUGAGAUAUAGCCAUGUUUGAUCCCCAUUAAAUUACAUUCCAUUACAUUCUAUUUUUCUCUUCUAUUUUCAACCACAUAAUUUUUCAUAAAAUAAUAUUAUACGUAAAUCGAAAAAUUUUCCUUAUUUUUCAACCACUCAUUUUUUCAACAAAACACUAUUCCCGUUUGGGAAUAGUGUUUUGCGGGAAUAGUGUUUUCUUGAAAAAAUGAGUGGUUGAAAAAUAAGGAAAAUUUUUCGAUUUACGUGUAAUAUUAUUUUAUGAUAAAUUGUGUGGUUGAAAAUAGGAGAGAGAAAAAUAGAAUGUAAUGAAAUUUAAUUUAAUGGGGAUAAAACAGGGGCAAAAUGGCUGCCUCUUUCUUCUCCAAAGACUGUCUUUGAUUUCUUUCCCAAAAAUCAGCUCCAAAGGCCGUCGUUUUUUUUGCCUUAAGCGUGUCUAUAGGUCAGUUUUAUAGCAAUUCAGCCCAAUAUUUUACCCCCAAGAGAGAUUCAAUUGUCCUUCAAUUUAAGGUCUGCCACGUCUCUUUUUUUUUCUCCAAGAGUCCAAAUCACUUUUAACUAGACCAGCAGCAGUCCAUUACAACUUAAAGUUGAGGCCCAUUAUGGUGGUAUUUGUUUUCAAGUCCUCAAUUUUUAUCCAAUGACCAAUUUAAUUCCCAUGCUUUAGUUUUGCCAUUUUUCGGCAAAUUUUUGCUUCUUUCCUUCACUUCUUUUUUCAUUUAUAGAGUUUACCCAUAAAACAUAAAAGACAACACUUUAGGAUAUAAUUUGUCAAAAGAACUAUCAAAUAUUGUUAUUUUAGGGUCCCCGAAUAAGUAUAUAAAAUACGCUUAUCAAUUGUCCCACUUGGCUCGUGUAAUACUAUAUCAUUACGUGGUUUAUAACAUAAUGCACAUAGCUCCUUCCAGAUACUAUAAUAUUAGUCCCCACCUAACAUGACAUUAAUGAGAAGUUAGAUAAUUACAUUUCAAUAAUAUCUUUGAAAAGACUAUUCCUGUCAGCAUUUAUAUAAUAAAUUCAUGUACAUACCUCAACUAUUAUGGCAUGAAUAAUAUUUUGUCAAAAACAAUAUAUAAAAGAGCUCAAAGUGUCAAUUACAUAAAUUUCAUAAUGUCAAUGAUAAUUUUCGAUAUUGCCCAUCCUCUCGAUAUGUUCAUUAAAUGUCUUUGGCGGCAAUCCUUUCAUUAGUGGAUCUGCAAUCAUAAGAUUGGAGCUAAUAUACUCGAUUGACACCUUUUGUAUGUGAACUUCUUUAACGCAAUGUACUUCGAUUCCGUGUGUUUAGCACAUUUGACGUACUUGUCGUUCUUUGAAAUGAAAACUGCUGUAGAAUUGUCACAAUAAAGUUUUAGCGGCUCGACAAUACUGUCGACAAUCUCAAGCCUUGAAAUAAAGUUUUGCAGUUAGCUCCCUUGAACUGUGGCCUCAAAGCAUGCCACAAACUCAGCUUUCAUAGUAAAUGCUGCAAUGAUUGACUGCUUUGCACUUUUCCAUGAUAUAGCUCCUCCAGCUAAGAGGAACAGAUAGCCAAAUGUAGACUUUCAAGUAUCUACAAAUCCAGCAAAGUCUAAAUCUGAAUAUCCAAUGACCUCAAAGCUAUCAGAUAUUCUAUAAGUGAGCAUGUGGUCUUUUAUUCCUUGCAAGUAUCUCUAUACUUUCUUUGAAACUUUCUAAUGAUCAAGUCCUGGGUUACUUUGAUACAUGCCCAGCAUUCUGACAGUAAAACUGAUGUCUGGCCUAGUAUACGUUUGAGCAUACAUUAAGCUCCCAACAAGAGAUGCAUAAGGAAUAGUUGUCAUUUGUUUGUGUUCCAAUUCGUUCUUUGAACAUUGCAUGAGACCAAAUUUGUCUCAUUUCUAAAUUGGAACGACACUCGCUGAACAAUCAAAUCUCUCUAAAACUUUAUUAAUAUAUGCUUUCUGAGACAACCCUAACAAUCUUUGCUACCUAUCUCGGAAUAUUUUAAUUUCAAUUACAUAGAUUGCCUCUCCUAUAUCUUUCAUUUCCAAAUUUUUAGAGAGAAAUUUAUUAGUCUUGUAUAACAUACUAAGAUCAUUAGUAGUUAGCAAGAUGUCAUCAACAUACAGAAUCAAAAAUAUAAACUUGCUCUCACUGACCUUUAGAUAUAUACAAUGAUCAACGACGUUUUCCUUAAAUCCAAAGGAAGUAAUGGUAUCGUUGAACUUAAGAUACCAUUGACGGGAAGCUUGUUUAAGUCCGUAUAUUGAUUUCUUUAACUUACACACAUAUGUUCCUUUCAUUUAACUGAAGCCUUCAUGUUGAUUCAUAUAAACUUCUUCAUCUAAAUUUCCAAUUAGAAAAGUAGUUUUCACAUCCAUUUGAUAUAACUAUAAGUCAUAAUCAGCUACUAAAGCCAUUAUAAUUGUGAGUGAGUCUUUCUUAAAGACUGAUGAAAAUGUCUCCUUAUAAUCAAUGCCACAUUUCUGAGUCCUUUGGCAACAAGUCUAGCUUUAUAUCAUUCGAUAUUAUCAAUAGAGUCGAGCUCAAUCUUAAAGACCCACUUACACCCAAUUCUUUUACAUGAUUCAGGUAAUUCAACAAGAACCAAGACUUCAUUGUGCUCCAUAGAUUUCAACUCAUCUUUCAAAACAUCUAACCACUUAUCAGAAUUAGCACUCUCAAUGGCCUGUGAAAAUGAAACCGGAUCAUCAUCAACAAUUUCUAAAGCCAAAUUUAGACUCUUGUAGGCAAACCACACAAUCAUCAGAAAUAGUAGGUCUACGUUGUCUUUGUGAGCUUCUUAAUGCUAUUUCUUGUGGUUCAUUUAGUGUAGGUUCAUCAGCAACAACUUCAUUGUGGGAUGUUUGAUCAUUUAUUUGUUGGUCUGGCAAAUUGUCACACUAUCAACAAUUCGAGUAACAACAAUAGGAGAAGAAGUUAAGGGUGGAGAAACAUGAACUCCAACUUCUUGUAUUUCCACAUUUCGUGGCUCCAAAAUCCCACUAACUUUACCAUUUUCAAUGAACCUAACAUUUCCAAUUUCAACAAUUAUAGAACUAUGGUUAGUACAAUAAAAUCUUUACCCUUUCAAUUUUUUUUUGGAUAAUCAAUGAAAAAUCCACUGAUUGUUCUCGAGUCUAGUUCUUUUCAUGCCUUACGUUUUAGGAAGUCCCUUUUUUAAUGCCUAGGUUUGCGAUCGAAAUGACAUGUAUCUUUCUUGUGUUCCUUAUUAUAGAUUUGGACAGAAGACUCAUUUUAUCUUUAGUGGUCCUUACUUAAUGUCUUUUCUAGACCUUUUCUUAUAUUUUUUUUCCAGCUCAUUGAUGACUUACGAGAUGAACUGAACGAGGUCCUUGAUUUUUAAGCCUUGUCUCCUUUUGCACGAGCAUACUGUGCAGUUCAUUCACAUUUCAUUUAUUCUUUUAAGAUAUUAUAGUUCAUAUGGAAUUGACCAUACUUGGGAAGCGAGGAGUUGAUGAUACACUGUGCCAGAAAAUUUUCAUUCACAGUCAUCCCAAGAGUUUUAAGUCUUGCUGCAAUGUUACUGUUUUCAAUAACAUGCUCAUGCAUAGUACGAGAAUCAUCAAAUUUCAUGGUGGUUAGGGUGCCCAUCGGCGUGCCAGCAAGUGACUUGUCAACUAUUUGGGAACGUUCUUCCACAAACAUCAUACAUUUCUUAGCAAUCUAAGUUUUAAGAAUAGGAAGCUUGAUAUUUUUUGCUAAGUUCAUCCGCAUAAAUAUUAGACUUAAUCUGUUUGACUUUUCCCAAGUGGUGUAAAAAGAUAUUUCAUCAGCACUGUUCUCAUCAGUGAGAUUAGCAGGUUUCUCAACUUGAAGCGUCAAGUCUAAGUCCAAAACAUCUAAGUUGAGCUAGACUUGUUCGCACUAGUUAGAAAAAUUGAGCCAAUUGAACAGUGGUACAGAUGAAGCUUAUGAACGCAGAGAAACAAGAAAAGAUACUACAAAAUAUAAUAUGCUCUAACAUUAAUGCUUUGAGUUUAGAUUUAAACAUUUAAGUUCAUAUUCAAAUAACAAUAAAUGUAUAGGGUGAUACUACAUUAUACCAUCAUAAUAAACAUAAUGAUACUAAUUUAAUUUCACUUAAUUAGUAAUGAAAUAUACUUUAAUCAGACAUGUCUGUCAUCUAUGGAUAUACAAAACACUUCUAAAUAAGUAUAUCAAUUAGUCAUAAUCAUGUUCAAGAUUAAUAAAAUUAAUUGAUCAACCUUUGGGCGAUCCAUAAUAAUUUUAUAAUUAUGAACGUCAAUAUUCUCUUGAGAAUGAUAAUUAUAUAAUUAUGAACGUCAAUAUACUCUUGAAAAUAUUAAUUGUUAUGCUCCUAUCUAAACCACUUCGGAAAGUUUGCCACUGCGUCAUACGAGGUGUCCAACACCCAUCUGAAGUGGUUUCGAAGUGACACCUCCAUUAAUGUUGGUGAGCUGCUAACGCGCUGCGAGGCACAAACAAUUUUACUGAACCAACCGAAGCGUUCUUGCCUCUGACGCCGAAGCGCAAUGCACUCCGAGGAUCUCUGUCAGAGUAUUCGCCGUCAAUUUCAGAAGGAGAUCUGUGUUAAGAUCCUUUCUGCCCCAAGGUUUAAUUCGUCUCCAUGGGCCUAGUUGAUGUGACGUAUCAACUUUAUGUCAACUGAACUUAGGAAAAGUUAUUACCCGCCCACUUUAUAGACGCGACUGAUUAAAACCCAUGAGAAGACACAUCACACCGUUAGAUGUAUACACGUGUCCCACAUCUAACGGUCUCCUCAACUAUAAAUACCCAAGGUUUGAUAAGAGGCAAAGGCAAUGAAACUCUUACAACUUAGCUCUCCAUAACAAGUAAAUAUAUAUUCUCCUUCCCACCUUUUUUGCACAACCUUGGCACUGUUCCGAUCACCAGAAGCUAACUUGAUCGUCAGAGUGUAUGCGGCCGCCACCACCCUCGCUGGUUCCGACCGUGUGCAUCUGACCGUGCGUUCAUUGUGCGCAGGGAGGAUUACGUGGAGCAGCUAUCGAUUGGCCACAUGGAGGGUCCAAUUCGCUAGGUCAACAGAUUGGCUCCGUCUGUGGGAAACUUCCCAUCCAAAGUUCUAUAUUCUCCAUCGAAAAAGCCACUGAAAAACCCUUGACUUACCCUAAAAAUGGGACGUUCUUGAAAAAGAACAAAAUCGAAUUACAAUCCAGAUCCUCAUCACCCUUGAAAAGGGGUAGAUAAGAUGAGUUCCAGCAAUGAGAACGCAAACCCCAGGAUGGACGCCUCCGAAGAGGAGGUGCUCCGAAACAAUGUCACUUACCAAAGACCCCAUCACCGACGUCGUCGAAGUGAAAGAACAGCCAUGCUCACUAAAGGAAUGGCCCAAAUAGCUGCGGGCGUGAGAGAGAUCGCAGCUCAUAAUAUGGCGAUGCAUGAAUUCUUCAUGUGAGCCCAAGGUCACCAGGGCGCCCAAAUGUCCCAAGAAUCUUACCCAACUCGUGAAGUCCCUGCAUCUCGUUCCUGAGGCCAUAUGAGCCAGCACAGAGAACCCCCCUCGAGAGAGAAGUGGGUACGAAAGUCACAUCCGCCAGCUAGCAGAACCGCAAUUGGGGGACAACUUCCCACCAGAAUAUGAAGCAGAAAGGUCAGUCAGUGUCUUUGACCGGAUAGGGCGUGACCCUAGUAAUAGGGUACGCUCAGUGAAAAGAUUAGUUCGACAAGGGGAAGAGCAAGAACAAGCGCCUCUUCCACCUAGAAAUAGGAAAGAGAGAAGCAACUUAGUAUUAUAGGAUAGCCGAUGAAGAGCACCUCUACCCCCCAAAACAUGCAAGAUGAUGGGGACUCCGAAUGGCCGUGUUGAUCUUACGAGAUUGAUGAUGAUAAUGAUAAUCUCCCUUUCUCAAGAGAGAUCCGAGGCUUCCCAAUGCCUGCGAACUUCAUACCACCUAAAAUCUCCAAGUAUGAAGGAAAAGGGGACCCGUAAAAGCACCUCACGAAGUACAUGACACAGAUGAGUCUCAGGAGAGCCUCGCCUGCUUUGAAAUGCAGAGCCUUCCACCUAACCCUGGCCGGAGUCGCUGAAGUGUGGUAUAGCAGGCUGCCUCCCCUGAGCGUUAGGAGUUGGUCAAAGCUAAAAAAGGCCUUCUUGAACUAGUACCUCUCACGUAGAGAAGGAGAGGCCUAGUACAACGCCUACAAGAUAUGAGACAAGUCUCUGGAGAAACGUUAAAAAGCUACCUCGCUAGGUUUACGGAUGAGAUCACCUACUGCGAACAGGUCACUGACAGAGAAGCCCUUUCAGUCUUGAAAGCCGGCCUCAACAUGAACAUUUUUUUCUGGAGGGAUGUGCGCAGCAAGAAUCCUACCACUUAUAACGAACUGGUGGAAAUGAUGAGAGUUGAGAUCGUCAGUGAAGAGAUGAUUGAUCACCGAAAUCGUACCGCACGGGGACUUUGUCUGCCUCAGAGGCAGGUAGGCCGAGGACUUGCAGCGCACCUUGUCACCCAGCAAUGGAUCCAGGCAGGGCAUACAAUAGCUUCCACGUCCGAACAGGCACUAGCUUCUGUUUCGCUAAAUGAAGUGCCAGUAUUGACAUACGAGAAUGCCCUUGCUGAGGCGGGACCAUCUAGGGGUACUGAUAGUAGUCGAAAAAAGAAGAAGAAGUGGUCAAGCAGGCCCUUAGAAGGGGCAAGGUUCUACACCUUCCACCAACUCUAUGGACAUGACACCAGCAAAUGCAAAUGUAGAGAUGGCACUCAGAUCGGAAUAACCUACAUCCUUCUAGGAGGGACGAAUAUCCCUGCAGAUCCGCCUCCUCGAACAGGGCUGAAAGGAGGCAUAAAGAUCAAUCACCCCGAAGAAGAGGAUUGAGGGACAGAGGAAAGUCCGGACAGAGAGAUCAGGCCCCAUUUUCUGGAGGCCAAAUCAUCAAGGAAAUUGACACGAUCAUUGGGGGACCUCACAUCGGCAGCAACACUAGAAAUGUUCAAAGGAAUGUUCAAAGGAACUACACAAGGGAAGCAAAGGAUCCAUCGAUGCUCACGACAUUGUCAACUAAUCCCAAGAAGCCAACAGGAUGGCUCCAAUUACCUUCUCCCAAGAAGAUACACAAGGAGUUCACCACACCCAUUGUGACGCAUUGGUAGUAAGAGUCGUAGUAGCAAGAAACAGACUCAAACGCAUGCUUGUGGACAAUGGCAACUCGGUGAACAUACUGUUUGGCUCUACCUUUGACAAAAUGCAAAUUGAACACGGGCUAAUCCCCAUGACCAACCCACUAUUUGGAUUUACUGGAGACAACAUCAUCCCACGAGGAUAAAUUACUCUACCCGUCGAUAUGGGUUCAGCUCCCCUAGUGGCCUAACAUUUCAUGGAGUUUUUGGUAGUAGACCGCAAGUCAGCCUACCACGGAGUAUUGGGCAGACCCGUCUUGAAAGAUCUUUGGGCUAUCACCUCUAUACAUUACUUGUGUAUGAAGUUCCCAACUGGGCAUGGAAUUGCAACAGUUCGAGGCAACCAGAUAGGCUCCAGAGCAUGUUAUCUAAACUCUCUGCAAAAAUAUGAGCCCCACACUGUUAAUGUAAUCAUAACGGAGGCUGCGAACAAAUCUGACCUGGAUGUGAAAAUGCUCGAUGCCCCUGAAAUAGGGUAUACCUCCGAACAGGAGGAAGACGUCGACAUGAAAGAGGCCCUUGAAGAAGGGCAUCCUCUUGACGAAUUAGACCCCCGAAUAACUGGCUCAGAACCAAACGCGACCCCAAUGGAAGAACAUGAAACUUUUUCCAUCAACCCAGAGGACUCCUAUCAGGUCCUACGGAUAGGAAAGACGUUGUCCCCCGAAGCGAAAGAACAAAUGAUAGGCUUCCUGAAAAGGAACAUGGAUAUCUUCGCUUGGAAGCACGAAGACAUGUUAGGAAUAGACCCAAGGAUCAGUUGCCAUCGCCUAAACAUCAACGCCUCUUGUGCCCUACAUCGGCAGAAAAGACGAGUCUUCAAUCCGGAGAGGUACGAGGUGCUCAAAAACGAAGUCAAUAAGUUUAACCACAGUGGUUUCAUCAGAGAAGUCAUUUAUCCGAAGUGGAUAUCCAAUCCGGUCCUUGUGAGGAAGCCUAGCAAGAAAUGGAGGGUGUGCAUAGACUUCACAAACUUAAACAAAGCAUGCCCUAAGGAUAGCUUCCCACUGCCGAGGAUAGACCAACUUGUGAAUUCUCCUGUCGGACAUGAACUCUUGAGCUUCAUGGAUGCGUACUCAGGAUACAACUAGAUAUCCAUGUUUCGACCUGAUGAGGAGGCCACGUCGUUCAUCACAGACAGAUGACUGUACUACUACAAAGUUAUGCCUUUCGGAUUGAAAAAUGCCAGAACUACAUAUCAGAGGCUGGUCAACAUGAUGUUUGCCGAACUUAUUGGCAAAACCAUGGAAGUCUACGUGGACGAUAUGCUAGUCAAAAGUCUCCAGGCGAAUGAACACGUAAGUCACCUCGACGAGACCUUUCAGAUUCUUAGGAAAUACAAAUGAAAUUCAACCCCCUCAAAUGCAUCUUCAGCGUGGCUUCGGGUCAAUUUUUGAGGUACAUUGUGAACCAAAGGAGAAUCGAAGCAAAUCUGGUAAAGAUUAGGGCCUUACUGGAAAUGAGGUCACCUCAGAAGUUGAAGGAGGUCCAGAGCCUCAAUGGUCGAAUAGUUACGCUCAGUCGCUUCAUCUCCAGAGCCACUGAUAAAAGCCUACCCUUCUUCAAAAUGUUGAAGCAAGGGAAGAAGUUCCAAUGGACCGAUGAGUGCAAGGAAGCCUUCCAAGCGCCGAAGAAGCACUUAGGAGAGGGGCUUCUGUUAUCUAAACCUAAACAACAGGAAUCACUACUGCUAUACUUGGCGGUCUCGGAUGAGGCAGUCAGCGCAAUCAUAGUUAGAGAAGAAGACGAGCAUCAAUUGCCGGUAUACUAUGUCAGCAAAGCACUAUUUUUGAUAGAGACUCGCUACCCGAGCAUGGAAAAACUAGCACUCACCCUCAUCACGGCGUCAAGGAAACUGAGGCCAUACUUCCAGGCCCACUCAAUCGAAGUUCUCACCAAGUCCUCCUUCUUCAAAGGACGGGCUCUCUUCCUCUUCGGUUGCCCCGGCACUUGGGCAAUUUGAACAGCAGCAACUGGGGCAGGAGAAGCCUCGGAGAGUGCAUGUGUCUUCUCCGGGAUGGCCAUCCCAGUGGGUAUGGUGGUUUGCUUCAGAAUCGGGGGUGGCCUCGCCACUGUUGGGCGCUUCGAAGGGCCAGCAGACUUCUUGCCCUUUCAUAACAAGUUGGCCUCCGGAUUCUCUGCCACCUCCUCCUCUGUCGGAGGCUGGAGCAUCUUGCUGGCAUCCACUAAAUCCUCCAUCUGCUUCUUGUAUGCAAAGGAGGAAGUCUUCAAGGCUCUCGCCUCUGCCAUCAUCUUUUAGAUGGUCUUGAAAUCAAGCCUCAGGGGCAUCUUCCUGUUAAAGUUAUCUGUAAAGAAAAAAACAAAUUAUUAAAAGUGUAAAGGGUCCAGAAAAUUCACUUCGAGAAAUUUACCUUGAGAAGCCAUCAAAUCGUACGUCACGAAGUGAAUGUUCUUCCUAAUCAGCUGGUGGUAUGACCUCUUCUUCGGAGGCAGCUGAUAGAUGAUGCAAAUGAUAUCGAAGUUGUCGGUGGAUAUCUCACACCGAGGAAGAGUGCCUUCAAAAGCUAACAAAUAGCAAUUACGAUCCAAAUCGAAGAAUAAUAAACAUAAAUGCAAAGCAACGGUACUCACUAAGUGUAGAAUACUUCGUGGGGACCGUAAGAGGCUCUAGGGAGGUCCCCCUCCAUUGUGUCCCAUCUGCCGGUAGCCCAGCACCACGAGCUCUUCCACUCCUUAAUGGAGUUCGGUAGAUUGAGCACGAAUGGAGUAUAGGAACCCCAUGAGGUCAGGUAAUACUAGCCCCUAGUCUUAUCCCCCCCCAGCCGGUACCUUGGGGAUGUAGAGGGUUUGGAAGACAGAAAAGGCAUCUCUAUCCCAAGCGACACCUCCUUCCAUAACAUCCAGGAGCCCAUCAUUUGGCUCCAAAAGUUCGGGUUCAACUGGGUCGGAGCUAAACCAUAAGACCUAAGGACUGGGUGGAAGAGAGGAUGGAUCGAGAGCCUAAGGCCAACCCUAAGAAUCGCUUCGCUAAUUGCUACGCAUCCUGGCCUAGGGUAGCAGGUUCUCUUAUCGAGUUUGGGUAGGAUCAGAUCUACACUGUCUGGAAUCCUAUAUUCCAUCCUAAGUCUAUCCAGGUCAGCACUUUUUAGCUUAGAAGGGUAAUCUGACGUCCCCCAAUGCACAGACGUGUCUACUGGACUAUUAGACCUCUUCCAGAUAUUCUCCCCCCCAAUUAUCGCUUCAAAAAGUUUGGAGGAGGUCGCCAAAAUGGUCUCGUCCAUUCGUACUAAUUCCAGCCCCCUCUCCGAGCUAUCAUUACCUUCAGAAGCCAUUUUUCAGAAAUGAAAGAUGUCAAAUACUUAUUGAAACUCACGAAAUGGGGGCUCCACAGUCGAAAAUGGUCAGGAAACACUGUAGAGUCGUCGAAAACUGGAGUUGUCAUCGGAAAAUGCUUGAAGAACGCCGAAAAAUGCAAGAGUUUUGAGAGCAAAUGGAGUUUCUGAUUUUGCAAAAGUGAAAAACUCCCCAAACGCUCAAGUCCGCCUUUUAUAGAGCGUCCCAACUGAUCUCCACCGUUGAAUUAAAAUGCAAUCAAUCUAGGCCGUCCGUCUCAUCAUCAAUCUAGGCCGUUGAAAUGGAACGCUAGAUUUGAUCUACGCCCAAGAUCUAGCUAUGACCCUCACGCUCACGUGAAACGCGUCGCCUCGAUCACCAUCAACCGUCUACAAUAAGUAGCUGCAGUAACCUUUUCUGGGAAUGGGCAUCACACACAACUGUCGCCUUAGAAAUAUGCGAUAACUGUCAAAUCAUUUAACGUCAAAAAUGUUCACCUCAGAUCAAGCAGAUGAGUUCCACACUUAGCUUUACAAAGCUUAGACGCACCUGACUCGAAGUUCCCUAUAGGUCAUCGCCUCGGUAGUUGCAUCUCCUCCUAAGCUUUACAAAACUUUAGUCAUCUUCCAACGCAUCGUCCUCUGUGGGUCAGCACACCAGUGGCAGAUGAGCUCCACACAGCUUUAAAAGCUUAGACGCACCAGAUGCGAAGUCCUCUGUGGGUCAUCACCUCGGCAGCUGCGUUCCCUCCUAAGCUUUACAAAGCUUUAGCCAUCUCCCAACGCGUCGUCCCCUGUGGGUCAGCGCACCGGUGGCAGAUGAGCCCCUCACUCAGCUUUACAAAGCUUAGACGUACCUGAUGCGGAGUCCCCUAUGGGUCAUCAUCUCAGUAGCUGCGUUCUCUCCUAAGAUUUACAAAGCUUUAGCCAUCUCCCGACGCGUCGUCCCCUAUGGGUCAGCGCACCGGUGGCAGAUGAGCUCCUCACUCAGCUUUACAAAGCUUAGACGCACCUGACGCGGAGUCCCCUGUGGGUGAUCGCCUCGGUAGCUACAUUCCCUCCUAAGCUUUACAAAGCUUUAGCCAUCGCCCAAUGCAUCCUCCCAUAUGUGUCAGCGCACCGGUGACAGAUGAGCUCCUUACUCAGCUUUACAAAGUUUAGACGCACCAGAUGCGGAGUCCCCUGUAGGUCAUUGCCUCAACAGCUGCGUUCCCUCCUAAGCUUUACAAAGCUUUAGACAUCUCUCAACGUGUCAUCCCCUGUGCGUCAGGGCACCGAUGGCAGAUGAGCCCCUCACUCAACUUUACAAAGCUUAGACGCACCUGACGUGGAGUUCCCUAUGGGUCAUCGCCUCGGUAGCUGCGUUCCCUCCUAAGGUUUACAAAGCUUUAGCCAUCUCCCGACGCAUCGUCCCCUGUCGAUCAGCGCACCGGUGGCAGAUGAGCUCCUCACUCAGCUUUAUGAAGCUUAGACGCACCUGACGUGGAAUCCCCUGUGGGUCAUCGCCUCGGUAGCUGCGUUCCCUCCUAAGCUUUACAAAGCUUUAGCCAUCUCCUAACGCGUCCUCCCCUGUGGGUCAGCGCACCGGUGGUAGAUGAGUUCCUCACUCAGCUUUACGAAGCUUAGACGCACCUGACGCGGAAUCCCCUGUGGGUCAUCGCCUCGGUAGCUGCAUUCCCUCCUAAGCUUUACAAAGCUUUAGUCAUCUCCUAACGCGUCCUCCCCUGUGGGUCAGCGCACCGGUGGCAGAUGAGUUCCUCACUCAGCUUUACAAAGUUUAGAUACACCUGACGUGAAUUUCCCUGUGGGUCAUCGACUCGGUAGUUGCGUUCUCCCCUAAGCUUUACAAAGCUUUAGCCAUCUCCCAACGUGUCGUCCCCUGUAGGUCAGCGCAUCGGUGGCAAAUGAGCUUCUCACUCAGCUUUACAAAGUCUAGACGCACCUGACGUGGAUUCCCCUGUGGGUCAUCGACUCGGUAGUUGCGUUCCCUCCUAAGCUUUACAAAGCUUUAGCCAUCUCCCAACGUCUCAUCCCCUGUAGGUUAGCGCAUCGGUGGCAGAUGAACUUCUCACUCAGCUUUACAAAGUUUAGACGCACUUGACGCGGAGUCCCCUGUUGGUCAUCGCCUCGGUAGCUGUGUCUCUCCCUAAGCUUUACAAAGAUUUAGCCGUCUCCUAACGUACCGUCCUAUUGGCCAGCACAUCGGUUACAGAUAAGCUCCUUCCUUAGGCAAUAAUGAAGCUUUAGCGCGUCUGUCGAAGAUAUGUCCCGAUCUUCAUCUCUUUAGUGAACACCAAAAACCAACUCCCAAGCUCUCACAAAUCGCGGUUCCUAUCCUGAGACAAGCAUACCCGAUCGGAAAAACAAAUUCAUCCAUGAUAUAAAUAUUCAUGCCUGAACUUGGGGGGACCACUGUUACGCCCCUAUUUGAACCACUUUGAAAAGUCUGUCAUUGCGUUAUACGAGGUGUCCAACACCUAUUCGAAGUGGUUCCAAAGUGACUCCACCACUAAUGUUGGUGAGCUGCUAACGUGCUGCGAGACAUAAACAAUUCUACUUCCAACUGAAGCGUUCUUGCCUCUGACGUCGAAGCGCAAUUCACUCCAAGGAUCUACGUUAGAGGAUCCGCUGCCAAUUUCAGAAAGAGAUCUAUGUCAAGAUCCUUUCUACCCCCAAUGUUUAAUUGGUUUGACAUCUCCAUGGGCCUAGUUGAUGUGACGUAUCAACUUUAUGUCAACUGAACUCAGGAGAAGUUAUUACCCGCUCACUCUAUAGACGCGACUGAAUAACGCCUAUGAGCAGACGCCUCACACUGUCAAAUGUAUACACAUGUCCCACAUCUAACGGUUCUCCUCAACUAUAAAUACCCAAGGUUUGACAAGAGACAAAGGUAAUGAAACUCUUACAACUUAGCUCUCCAUGACAAGUAAAUAUAUAUUCUCCUCCCUACCCUUUUUGCACAACCUUGGCACUGUUUCGAUCACCAGAAGCAAACUUAACCGUCGGAGUGUAUGCGGCCGCCGCCACCCCACUGGUUCUAGCCGUGUGCAUCUGACCGUGCGUUGACUGUGCGCAAGGAGGAUUAAGUGGAGCAGCUAUCGGUUAGCCACGUGGAGGGUCCAAUUCGCGAGGUCAACAAUAAUUAUAAUAUCAUCUUCACUUAUAAACAUCAAACUAUCAAGAGUAAUUGACAAAUAAAUUAUGUAUUUUAGUGCUCAAAAUACCAUAAUGUUUGAUAACUAUGGUGACUAUCAAACAACGUUAAUCGAACAUUAAUUACAUAAACAAAAUAUUUAUCUAAAUAUUCAUCAAAACUUUUGAAUAUAUCACCUUUCAUCCCAAUUAAUUCUUGUAAAAUAAUUACCACCUAAUGUUUAUUAGUGAUUGAAGAUUAAUAAACAAGGUAAGGAAAGUACAAACCUCACCUCGAGGCUGGAGCCGCGGAUAAGCUAAUGGAUUAGGCCAAUUCUUAUAAUUUAUGGAUUAGCACGCGGGUUCCAUUCCAAUGCAUUAGGCUAGUUGUUUUAUUAAACUUGCAUUUUGAAUGAUUAAUAAUGACGAACGAGAAAACACAGCCGAAAUACUGGACUUUGAAUGGCUGUCUCUUUGCUUUCCAGCCAAUUGCGGUAACCUGAUUAACUUAAUGGAUUUCAUCAAGCAGAAAAUCGCUGUCGUGGAUAAAUGGGAAUGGAAUAAGUAUAAAACAUUAAUCUUUAAGGGACAUUGGCUCUGAUAGUACAUGUAAGCAAUUAACCCAAAUACCAAGAUCUUAGAAUUUUAUGAUUUUCAUGAUCAUUGAUCUGUGACAAUUAAUUGAAGAUUUAGACCUACAAAAAUAAGAGAAACAAGAAAAUAAGAAACGAUUCUCCCUUCUCCUCUCUAUAAUUUAAUGUAUUAAUUGAUGAGUUUUUUUCACGUUUAUAGACAGAGAGACAGUUUCAUGGGCUAUUAAAAUAACAAUCCACUUUCCAUCAAAGUGGACAAUUAUAAAACUGUUACUUCUCAAUCAGCCAAUUUGAUUUUUGUAAUAAAUGAACCACUUUAAUUAAUGGAAAAAUUUCAUAACUAAGAGGUUAAGUAUCACCAUUUCAAAACCAAGAACAAAUAUUUCAAAUUUCAAAAAUCACUUUUUUAUUAAAAUUUACUUAUGAUUUAAUUAAUCAUAUAUUUUAUUAAUUUAAUAUAUUAAGGUCCAAAUUUAUACAAUUUGAUCACAAAUUAACGAUUUAGUUAAUCAUAUACUAUUUUUCGAUCACGAAUCAAACAUUUCAUAUAUCACAAUUUGUUCAUCAAUCACAAAUAAAAAAAUUAAGUUACAAUUUAUUUAUUAGUCAUAAAUCAUAAAUUUUAUAAGUCAUAAUUUAUUAUACAGUAAAAAAUUAUCAAAUUAGUAAUCACAAAUUAACAAAAUUUUAGGUCACAAAUUAUUUGUUUGACACAAUUUAUCCUUUUAAUUGGUCACACAUUAUUUAUUGUUCACGAAUUAGUCAAUUUAAUGGUUCUAAUCAACCAAAUCAUUUGGGACCACCACUAAUACUUGUGACUACCACCUCACAACUGUCGUCAGUCGCAACGCCAUCAAAACUGCCACGCACCAGAACCACCACCACCACCACACCCACAACAUCACAGUAAUGCCAUCGCCACUGUCACACCCACAACAUCAUAGAACCACCACCGCUAUACCUACAGCAUCACAGUACUCACCACACCACCACCGCCAUCUUAACCAUUCAAACAAACCAACACCAACUACCAAAAACCACCACUAUUUCACAUAAUUAUCGUUAACUACCACAGUCAUCUCACUCAUAGCCACUAACAAAGUCAGCACCUCACCACCAUCAUCACCUCAUUGUCAACACCACCACUACAAGCAGCACCACCACCAAAUACAUCAUCACUACAUCCCAUCUCGACAACCGCCUCCUCCAACAACCAACCACCACCACCACCUCCACCUCUACCCUUACUUGCAACUCCAAUCAACCACCUCAUCAUUACCACCAUUAUAUGCUAGAAUCCACCAUCAUACAACCACACCACAGCAACCGCCCUCACCAACGAAUUCUUCAAACCCGCAACAAUCACCUACAACACAACAAAAUCCCCAAACCCGCAACAAUCACCAAAAACAAGCCAAAACCCCGGUUGAGUACAGCGGCACAGAGAGUGACGUUGCGGCUUGGGAGUACUGCAGUAGUGAGGUGCUGCGAAUAGCGACUGUCACAGGUAGCGUGCAACUUCUGUCACAUAUAGAGAAUGGAGAAGAGAUGAGAGGAAAGGGGGAGAGAGAGAGAGAGAGAAGAGGUGGUGGUGCUGGCGGCACGUGGCGGUGACGACCGUGGGUAUUGUCUGCUUCUCACCGUGUAUAGAUGCUAGAGAGGCGGUCGGAAAUGAAAAGGGUAAAGAGAGAUUUGGGGGAUUGAAUUAGGGUUUGUUGCUAGGUGAAGUGAGUGUGGGAG
This 52872-nucleotide long non-coding RNA is filed under the name Olea europaea (common olive). RNAcentral's name for it is "long non-coding RNA (OEUR_LNC005028)". The record is from RNAcentral. Lineage: Eukaryota; Viridiplantae; Streptophyta; Magnoliopsida; Lamiales; Oleaceae.